AAAUUCAAGAUCUAGAAUCCUAUAGUGUUAGAGAACACAAAUCUAACACUAAAAACACAAGAAAAACACAAAAUCAAAAACUCAAAUUUUGAUCUAGGGUCAAAAACGGGAAUAGUACUUUUUGGGGAUUUUUUAUUUUUGACACUUCUUUUUGUGUGUGAUUUUCAAUUUCUAGAGGACAUGACCCUAGAUAGGAAGGUCUGGAAGAUGCGAAUUACGGCAGAGGAUUAGGGCCAGUUCGGGUCGCUAGUGUAGGGACCUGCUUUACUCUGUUUUAUAUUCCCUAUGGGUGCCGUAUCUAUGUUAUGUCAUCUGCUUCUGUGCUGUACUAUGUGUUUGUGUGAUAUCUCGUGACUUGAGCCGGGGGUCUUUCGGAAACAGCCUUUCUACUUCAUCAGAGGUAGAGGUAUGGACUGCGUACAUCUUACCCCCUCAGACCCCACUGAGUGGGAAUACACUGGGUUUGUUGUUGUUGUUGUUGUUGUUGAUUUUCAAUUUCUAGACUCUAAUAGUGUUAGGGAACAAGAAUCUAACACUAGAAACACCAAAAGACACAAAAAUCUAGGACCUAAAAUUUUGGCCUAGGGAUAAAAUGGGAUAACAACUUUUUUUUUGCAAUUUUCAGAUUUGACACUUCUUUUUUGUUGAUUUUCUAGAUAGCCAUCCCAAGGUUGAUUUUAUUGGAAUAAAAUCAAACCUUGCUCUGAUACUAAAUGAUAAGAGAAUGACCUAAAGAGAUGAAGACUAAGAGAAACAAGAUAACAAACAAAUGCAAUAAAGUAAGAUAGAUAGCUUGACAUACGAGAUUACAAGAAAUAGGAAUCAAACCGUGUAUCAAACGAUAAGACCCCUAAGACUCGCAAUAACAACACCAAACUCUUACAGUGACCGCUAAAGGAAUCAACUCCGCCUUACAACCACCGUUUCUAAGCAAGGAUCAAUAAUGGUUUUUCCAAGCCCUGUACUACUUGGCUUUUCCAAGCCCUAAACUACACUCUCAAAGAGAGAAGAAGAAGUCUUUCAAAUAUCAAUAAUCAACUCAAGAGCAAAUGACCUAAUAGAAGACUAUUUAUAGGCUAGCUUAUUACAUAGCAAAAUGACCAAAAUAUCCUUAAUGAAAGGAGUGGUUAUGGAGUGUCUUUCCAACAAGUGUAAUCCCCAAAAUAUCCUUAAUGAAGGGUGCAUCUUCAAUGCUCCAAAAACAAGGGGUCAUGCUUCAACACUAGUGGACUCGGGUUGGCAUCAAAGGUAAGCCCCCACGCAAUUUUCCACACAUGGGUUUGCUUUAUGUCAUGCUCAAAACGGGUCCUCCAUGCAUGUUCUUGUGUCCUCGAGGUGACCAAGUCUUGAGUCUUUAUGCAUUGGCCUCCAAUGAUGUCUUCAAAAGCAUAGAUGGCCAUUUGGUUUGUAUCAUCACCUACUAGCCUUAUACCUAAUUCUUGAGCUCCACUCCCUCCAAUCAAGAGUCAUGUCCUUGGUGUAGAUAGCAGAUUCUUGCUCUGACAUAAUCACAGGAAAGCAUCGUCACUUAAUAUCUAGCUUAGUAAAGUUGGGUCAGACAUGUUAUUUGGCGUAAUGAUAUUCUACUUCAUAGAAAAAUGAGACAUGUUUGGUACGAGGUCUUUUCUUUGUAAACCAUUUCAUGCUGCAGUUAAAUACAGUUAAUUGUAAUAGCUCUUUCUAUGGGUCCUUCUCGUUUCUUGGAUAGAAUCUGAUAAUUACCUUUCGUUGGUGCCAGAUCACUGCUAGUGUGGAGGCUGCAAGAGAUGUAAUAAUUGAUGGAAUACAGCGUUUCCCUGGUUGCAGACUUCUUUAUGAGGUAUGUUAACGAAAAGGGUAAAUAUGCACCAUUUAGUAAUCAGUGAGGGUAUAUAUGCACCACUUUUUCAACAAGGGGUAUAUCCGCCCCAAAUCGUAAAGUUGAGGGGUAUAUUUUCACCUUCUCUCGAUAAUGAAUAUAUUCUACUUCUGCAGGAAUUGAUAAGAUUUGCAAUGGCUCAUGAAGGAACUAAGCAAUUGAGCAUAGUAGACUCUGUCAUAGCUAAUGCAAUCUCUCCUGUGUCAGACGUAUCCAAAGAUUUGGAUAUAAAAGAUCGAGAAAGUAUAUCUAUAUUAUUUUUGGAGGUCAGAGCCGCCUUCUAAAUGAUUCAGUUCUACAUUGUUUUCUUUUCUCAUUCUCCAUUUUGGCAGUGGAAGGGAAGCGAUGAGGGGAACUCUUUUUAUCUAAGUGGAAAAACGUUCAAUAUUUCUUAGCUUCAUGUGUGAUUAUCUGUUUGCUGAUGCUGCUGGGUCAAUCAAAUAAUGAAAUGAAAAUCUGAAAGAAAUGACGGAGUAUGACAUACUCAUAAACCAAGUAUCUAUUUCAUAAGAAUUUAACUAGUGAACAUGUCGGGAUAACUAACAAUGGUUUGGAAGUGAGCUGAUCACUGCUGUGCACGUUAUAAACUAGCCGAGGUGGAAGGCGAUUGUAUCACCACCUAACCAAGCCGUACUUGUACUAAAAUGAAUGAGAGAACUUUGAAACUGAGUUUUUAAAAAGAUACACUUUGUAUGCAUACAUUAUAAGUUGAUUUUUCUGUUGGGUAUAAUGAUUUUCUACUUCAGAUCUCAUCUGAAAGUACAAAAUGUAUUUGGAAUGGUCUCAGUUUCAACAAUGAGUUUAUUGCCGAAUUGUAAUGCAAUAAUUUAAUGGUUCUAAACUAACCACGUCCACCUUUAACUAGCGAAAAGUGUGAAUACAACCUGCCUACACGGAACAAUUUUAAAUAAAUAACUAGUUUACUUGACACUUCUGAUUCAGUUUUCUUGGAGAUAUGCCAACCCUUACGAAAACUGCACCAUACAACAACAUCAAUAUACCCAGUGUAAUACCCAAAAGAAAAACUAAAACUGUACCAUACUUGAAGCAAAAUGUUACCUUGUUUUUUUUUCACAAUUCCUCAUUAUCUUGUACCUACUGAAUGUCUGAAUCUGGCCCUAGGUUUCUAUAAAGUGAAGUUACCUUUUUUGAUUAUACUAUUUACCAAGUUUUAGUAUCUGUGUUUUGGAUGUGUAAAAUCCACUUUCACCUGUCUCUGAUAAUCAUCAUUUAUGGUUGCAACAGUUGGUUGAUCUUUGUGGAUCUAUCUCUGAGAUCAGAAAGGCAUGGAGUCGUCACAUUAAACUGUUUCCUCAGUUCAUAAGAACCAAUACCUCAUUGAAACACAUAGGUACUGGGCAGAGUUCACUGAACAGCUUUACUGAACAAAGGAAAAACAUCUCCUAUGUACUAGUUAAUCAGCCAUCAAAAGGACCAAGCUCUGGCCAUAUGAUCCAGCUGACCGAAGGAGAGCAGGCACAUUUACUGCCUCUUAAAGAUGGGAAGCUACCAGAUCAGCUUUCUGCAGAGCUGUCUUUAGCUGUGGUCAAUGGCAAAGAUACGACUGGUAAACAAGGACAGUCAUCUCCCGGAAUGGAAGAUCUAUCCAGUGGAAAUGGCUCUGGGAAAAAUGAGUUGUCUUUUGACCCUGUUGUUCAAUCAAAGGAUGAUUCAUCGACGCCAAUGGAACUAAGUCAUGGUCCAUCACAGCAGAGGAGAGAAGAUUUGCCUGGAUCAAUGGACUUCUCUUAUGAUUCCAUACCCCAACCUGGAGAAGAUGCAUCCAAGUCUCCUGGGCCAGUUUUGGACUUUAAAGAACCCCCGAGGCUCCUUUCUGAUUUAGAAGCCUCACAAAAACACCCAAGUUCAGAAAUUGUCAAUCGAGAUCAGGAUGUUGAGCUUGAACAGCCACCAGUGCCGGUUUCUUUGGAGAAUCUUUCCUUGGUUUCUGGGGAAAGGGAUUCCCAGAACUUCGUCACCAUGCAUUCGGAUGAUCCUGAAAGUGGUGAGGAAAUUCCCGUAUCACGCACUGGCAGACCACAAGAUCCUGUAAAUAAUGGAGAUGGACCAGCUAGUUGUUCAUCUCCAUCAACAUGUCUGUAUUCCAAAUCAGCACAAACACAUUCAGGUCCUGUUACUGUUAAAAGUUCACUGCAAGUAAUUGAUACAGCCCCAGUUCCUGAAAGCAGGAGUUCACAGGUGCUCAAUCAACUUGCAGGAUAUGAUCAGCAACAGAAACCACAACGAGCUGCUUCACAAGAACUGCACUUGCUUGAUUCUCGGGGUGAUUCGCAGAUCCAACAGGUCCUGGAUAAGUCUACUGUGCAGUGUCAAUCAGGUACCUCUCAGGAGAAUAUGCGGAGCAACAAAUGCUGGAGAAUGAAUAAUACGCCACAGAAAAUCUCCAUGUCUGGAAACCAUCUCCAGGCGUCUUCCUCACCUGUUUCUAAUUCUCAACCAAGUACAGCUCAACAUUCUGUGCACAAUAGCCCGCAAAUUGGGCCGAAUCCCCAUCAAGAAGCAUUAAAUCAAACAUCACAAGACAUUUCCCUAUCAGAAAACCCCCCUCAAAGGUCUUCUUCACGUGCUUCUUUUUCUCAACCAAAUACACCUCAACAUUCUGGGCAGAGUAGCCAGCAACUUGGGCCCUUACACCACCAGGAAGCACUGAAUCAAACAUCACAACACCAUUACCAGCAGCAGCAUCUUUUGCACUGGCAGUAUCAGCAGCAUCAGCUGCAAAUGCAACAGCCCUACACUAGUAUACAACAGCAACAGAUGCAUCUACAUCCAAGUCAACAGUUGUAUCAGCACCAGCAGCUUAUUCAGCAGCAACAACAGCAACAGAGUCAGCAGCAUACACCUCUACUGCAACAGCAACAAUAUUUCCAGCAAAUUCAGUCGUUACAAUAUUCACAGCAGCAAUAUCUUCUGCACCAGCUACAAUAUUUACCGCAGGCACAGCAACUAUGGCACCAGCAGUUUCAACAGCAAGCACAACAGAUGAAAGCACAGGAAGGCCAGCAAACACAGGAGCAGCAGCAAGAGCAAUAUCGUCAGUCUCAAGAACUUGCAUACCAGAUGCAACAACAUACUUAUCAACUACUCUUGCACCAGUACCAAGUACAGCAACAAGGAUAUCAGAGCAUGCAACAACAACAACAAUGGCAACAACAGGGACAUCUCCAAUUACAGCAGUACUCUCACCUACAACAGCAGCAAUAUCAUCAUCUGGAGCAGCAAACUGAUGAGGAAUACAAUCAAACCCAUCAGGUUCCUUCUUGCUUAUCUUAUUGAAUUACUAUCUAAUGAUGGUGUUUCCCCUUAAAAAGAUGAAAGAUGAAAAUCAAUAUUGAAUAUUCUAUUGGAUACCGGAGGAUAUUUAGAAUUUAAUUAUAGAAUAUUUAGUCACUUUAUUAGCAUACAAAUUUAUUACCUACCAUAUUAUGGGUAGCUUAAGAUUUCUAUGUAAGGAUAACCUUUGUACAUUGUUUAUCAAUGAAUGACAAUUUCUUCUAUUUUCACUUCCUUGCGACCCAUAGCUCCUUGUUGAAAAAUCCAAAUGACGAACAGUUUGAUGCGUUGGAAACUAGACUCAGAGACCUUUAAUUUGAUAGAUAAUGCACACGUUACUCUUCAUACAUUGGGAGAUAUGUUCGUUUAAAGUCAGACCAUGUGUGAAAUCAUCAGAAUAAUUUGUCGUGAUGCAACCUUCAAAUUGAACUUUUGUUUUAAGGCUCCGCUCAGCAUCUAACUUCUGUGUAACAUUUCAAAUGUCGUUAUAUAUAGGUUCCUUGAUAUAAUUACCCAUUUAUGGCCUUAUUCUCUGGUUUGACACCAUUUCGUCGAUGGUUAACAACUCCUACCUUAGCUUAAAGUUAUGGGGUAUAACAAAUAGGUCCCCCAAACACUUGAGAACCACCAAAAGUUUCCGGGUCAGAUCAAAUGACAUACAUCGAAUGGUUCAAGCUUAGCACGUACUUGCGAGGUGUUACAGUGUUGGAAGGAUGUAGUUAUAGAUGUUCUCAUGUCUUUCAGUUUGAGGCUGACACAGUACUAAGUAAGGGUGUUCAUACUUUCGGCAUUGUGAAAUAGGAUGAUUAGUGUAAAUGAUAUGAAUAGUCUGAUGUGCUAUUUGGACCCCCUAUGUGGGCAAAGGAGCAUCGUCCUUUUGUGCAUCUUUGCGCCUGCCUGGCAUAUACAGUAGAUAAAAUUUUUGUACACGUCACCCAAAAAUAGGAUAUGAACACCAUCUCGAAAUAGAUAAAGGAAGAGAGUGAAGAUGUGAGUGGCUAAAUAAUAUUGAACGAACAGUCUGCUGCAAGCAUUGAUUUCUCUCAAUGUCUUCUGAGUGCUUAGGGAUUGCUGGAUGUUUAGACUUCCAACUAGUUACAUUUUUUGAUGUUCGACUUAAACGGAUAAUAGUCUAUAUCAGUCUUUUGUCGUGUAUAAACUUAUGUGCAUGUGAUAUUGACUCCGUCAUCUGGCAAUAGAGAUUAACAUGUUAUGAUGCACAGGGUCAACAGGUUGUGGAGCAACAUUCUUCAGGAACUCCUGCUCCUGAAUCAGAAUCACCAGAAAUUGCAAGGCAACCACAUUCAGCAGAAAAAGCUAGAUAUUCCGUAUCCCCUUAUAGACGGCCCCCUGCUCAUGGAGUCUCACCUUCACAUAGUACGGGUACAUCGGCAUCAAAAACUUCUUCAUUUUCGAGGAAAAAUUCUUCCCAAGAUAAGUAAAUUUGGAGUAUGCAUGCCCUAGUUAACUCUUGCUGAAGAAUUUUGUGUAGGUAUUUGUAAACCGAGUUCUCUUUAGCCCUCAAACCCAAAGUAGAGUCACAGAAAGGAAAAGAUUCCAAAAUCAAAUCAGUAGAGGUUGUUACUUCUCUGUAUCUCGUGUAUUUUUAGGUUGUUCUGGGACCUCAAAUGUAUCUACUCAAUAGUCUAACGUACCUCUCACUUUCUAAUAUUAUGGUUGUUAAAUGAGAGAGCUGGAUUAUGUUUGGACAAUCUAAAGCAUUUUCAGCUAAUUUAACAUGAUAAUUUGAUCAAAGUUUAGUCAAGUAGGGUUUGGUUUGGUCACCAGUGAAUUGAAUAGGUCAUAAUCCAACUUGUCAAACUUAAGUAGUUGUAGCUUUCUUAGUCAAAAUCAGCAUUAGCUUGUAAUCAGAUGCAGUUUGCUUAAUGAGUUACCGGCAUGAGCAAAUUAUUUUUUUUGUCAAGAUACAUAAUUAUUAGACAGUGAGAAUUCCGAGUUGAUUUAACUUGCUUGGGAUUAAAGCUUAUUGUAACACACAAUGUGUUACUAGUGUUAUUUUAGCAGAGUGGUUUUCUGCCUGAUUUUGCUUUUUGCAGUCAUAUUUUCUUGUAAUUCUGCUUCAAAGAAUUUUCUUUUGAGACGAUAAUAUUGGAAUAGCUUUUCUACCCCAAGGUAGGGAUUACAUUUGUAUACACACUAUCCUUCUCAGACUCCACUUGUGGAAUUACAAUUAGUAUGUUGUUGGCGCUGUUGUUGGUUCUGUGCCAUUUCCUCAUAACUGUAAAUGUAGCUAGCUUUGGAUUUUACCCAUGUGAAGAACGGCACGCGAAGGCUUGAGAAGCAAGCAGUACUGGGAAAAGAAAGCCAUAGAGAUGCUAGAUUCACCAGGGUAAUACAUGUGUUUGUACAUACACGUCUACCAUUAACUGUGAUCAAUCAAUACGUAUUUUUACUACAUUAGAUCACUCAAUCAUAGUUAAUUGACUUUUACUCACGUAAACACUCUCUGCCACUAAUUAUUUGCCACAUUCAUCAGUUAGUCCUUUGUAGGUGCAACAUAAGCACAUAUGAUGUGUAUAAAGGCCUUCGACACUCUUUUAAGGAAAAAGGCUUCUACGUUAAUGAUUGGCUUUAGUUAGAACUUAAAACAUUAUGUGCUAAGCUAUGAAAUAAGCUUUUCUUGCAACAUGAUAUUAAUGAAUUUAGCUAUUUUACUUACUAGAGUAAUGAUGGUGUUCUAAAUUGGUAUAGCAGGUGCUUGAUUAUAAGUUAUGGACUUGAAAACCCUCUAAUGAGAUAUAAAAGUGAGUGAAUUAAAGGAAUGGCGUUUGCGCUUAACAAAUUCUUUUUAGAAAUGGCUUCCGCUUCAAAAAGAAUCCGACAACUUUUGUUGCCUAUUGGAUUAACGUUGUGGGCAUAAGUAAACUUUGCUGAUAAUAUAAGAUAGAAAAUUCAGAAUAUUUCAACAAGUCAGAUAGUGAAUCCAUUCAAUUGACCACAAGUUCUCUUUUGUAUGAAAUGUAUUGCUCAAUCGUUCAUAAUUGUGAAAUUGUGAAUGGAGAAUAUUACAUUGUUUUAAAUUGAUCACGAAUUCUGAUGCAUUAGCAAAAGUUGCUUUUAUUGUCAAUUGUUCACAAUUUUUUUUUUUUUUCUGUAUUUACAGAGUUCGUAUAAUUCACAAAAUAAAAGGAUGAACCUUUUUUAAUUGAAAACAUGUGCAGAUAAAUUAAUGUAAAGAGUGUGAUUCAUUUUGAUCAUGCUUUAAGUUACAAAUAAAGUAACUCGAUCUAUAUAAUUGGACAGUCGAUGCCUAAUAGACAAGAAAUUAUGCUAUCUCCAAUCAUUGGAACUCAUUGAACUAUCCCAAAACUCUCCCUCAAGAGAAAAUUAAGCUAGACGCACAUUACAAUUUACAACUAUAACUUAUACCUAAUGAGCAAACGUUCCUCUCAACAGUCUUGUUCAAAUUAAGAUAGAACUUUUUAAAGGAUUUGUCAAACGGAGAGAAAAGUUAAAAGAGCACUCCUUACGAUAUCCUAGUACUUCAAUUACCUCCAUAGAGGUCUUAGGAAUACCGAUAUUCAUAAUAAAUUCAACCUGAAAAUAGCUUUCUUCUUGGCCUAGUUAGAACUGUUUUCCCUCUUUUCCUGUUAAUAUUUCUUAUGAAAGAACGUUCCCGUGAACACAUCAUCUUCAACUUACAUGCCAAUUCAAAUACCAAAUUAAUACAUCUCUCAUACUUGCUUACACAAACUGUUUAUUCACAUAUCAACACUCAUAUUCUUCUAAUGACAACCGCAGAGAACAAGCACCUUUUUUAUUUCCAUGAAUGUUAGCAAUAACGCACUGUUAUAUACCUUGCGCAAGAAGCCUGAAAGUGCAAUAGCAGCAAUCACACUUCGAAUAAUCUUAAUAAGAAUAUUGGGCUAUAUUUUACCAACUAUACUAAAUACAGUGAGGCAAAUGUCGAACGGUGCAGAAGAUCCUUAAAGGAGAAGAUGACAAAUUAAAGGGUUAGUGAUUCAGUAAGAUUAGUCCCUAGAUGUUAACAAGUUGAAACAAAACUGUAUGAGACAAGAAUUAAUCUGAAGAAAAGAGUCGGUACUGACAGACCAUCCCCAAACAGAGUACCAACCAGAUAACUAGAUCAUAUGAACAGUGAUUACUUCCAGGGAGAAGUCAUGGUGUUUAAGUGAUAAUUAGUUAAGUGCACCUUCUUCGGUAUGUGUCGAGCACACAAAAUAUUGAGCAGAGUAAGUAAUACAACAAUGACUACUACAUCAAAAUCAAGUUCGCUGUUAAUAAGCAAGCAGUCCAAUUAAUGCAUACACAGGUGAUGCUAACAAACUCAUUAAUCCUCUUUACAUAAGGAUGAGAAGGGUAAUAUUAACAUACACUUCUCUUGUUUUUUUAAAAAAAAAUGAGCACAAAGAAGGAAAAAACGGAAAGAAAGAGAAGGCUCUCUUUUACAGUUUCCUCGGAUGAAUACUCGUCAUGCCAAGAAGUUAAAAGAGCGCCAAAGACUAUGACAAACAAAAAAAGGGACAGGACAACAACAUGUGAGUUAUACUGCAGGGACAUACUAUACAAAAAGGGAUAAGAUGUAACAUCUCUAAUUACAUACCAGCCCUAGGAAAAUAUCUUACAGUUUUGAGUUCAUCCUGAUACUUCAAUAACGAAGGAAAAAAGAAAACAAGAGAAAACAACCUGAUUUUGGAAAGGAAAACCUGAUAUAGUCAGCAGUAGUUAGUUUUACACAAAACAAAAGAAAACAAAAGGCAGUUAGUUUUUCUCGUAAUGACCCUGAGAAAACAUUAAACAAAUCAAUACUGCAUACCUAAGGAUUAGUCCACUUGGUGGCCAAAACAAUAGUUAUCUCCAUAUGACCUGCAGAUAACAGAUUCAGAUUGGAAAGGGUAAUGAAAUUUUUACAAGCACAGAUAUCAACGACAAAAUAUAUCAUGUAAGCUGGACCGUGAAAUCAUGAGAACUUCUCAGUAUCUGCACAGAGUUCGACUGGAAAAUAUCCAAUUGGAAGUCUAAUCCCGAACCUCUGUAUCACCAGAGGCAUCAAUCUAGAGCGUUUGCAUCUUCCACAACCACCUUACCUUGUCACCACCUAGAAAACACCCAUUCUUGCAGAAGAACUUGCCUAAACUAUUCAAUACCGGAAAUCGAACCCUAUUGUCAAUAUUAAGUAUCAUGUUCAGUUGAAAUAACACGUGGACUAAACCAAGGGGGAAACUAUAUACAAUCAUUUCAACUCGUCUGUGGAUUUCGCAAAACAUAAGCGGUCCUCAACCCGAAUGAAGAACAGGUUUGGCAGAUUGACGAACUAUAAGGAAUACUCUGAAAACUGCAUUUGGCUCUUGAGGUAAGCCUAAGUAGCAUGGACUUUUAGAUGACUUAUAUAACCGACUCCUCUAAAGGUGUAACUGAUGCCAUCUUCAACCGGAUUAAAUUGGUUCCUUCAAGCAUGACUCAGGAGAAGUUGCCUCAAAUAGAAAGUCAAUUGCUUAAUGUCACUACACCAGUAAUAAUAUAAGAAAUUCCAUUCAUGUACAAAGUCUGAGGUACAACUCACUAAGAGAUUCUUAACGAUUCAGGUUACAGCUAAUCCUCUCAAAUUAUUCAACAGAUCAUGCAUCCUGUGACAACCAUGCUUGAAGGCUUAAUUACACUCUGGAAUUAAGCACUUCAAGAAGCCUUUUAUGAUGCUUCUGUAAAAGCAUGUGUUGCAAAUAAAGAACAUCCUACACCCGAUGGACUACUAUACCGGGAGACAAGACUGACAUUGAAAGAGGCUUUUCUUUGUUGUUAUGAAAUCAUUUUGACAGAUCGCAAGUCAAUAAUGUCAUGAAUUGAAUAGGUGAGAAUACUGAAAGAAUGGGAAGCAGGAAUCCCAAGGAACAUCCUGCAGUUAUAUAGCUAAUAAAUUGUCAGAACUACACUCUUGGCAUACAAUGAUGCACUGCAUCAUCUUUCACAAGGCUAAUUCUUAUUCCACUUCUAAAGAGCUCAAUCAUGGUUAGUAUCACAAGCUGCAUGUACGAAGUCAUGAACUCCGCGUAACUCCUAGUCAAACUGCAAUCCUUUUGCACGAUAUUCCAUCUACCCAAACUACUAUAUACAGAAUGAGCCACAAAAAAGGCAGAAAGUACCAUUCUCUUUGAAGUUUAAUGACCUAAAUUUACGGAGAACUCCAAUUUUAGGAAAGGCUAAUCGCUAAUGAUCCAGUGCUUUAGCUCAAGCAUCUUGAUGAGCAUUCAUUAUUGGAAUAAUCCAAAAGAAUGAUAGUCUGCUUCCAGUACAAUGAGUCGUAAACUCUAUUAGCAAAGUGACACAAUUACAACUUAAAGUUGUUGCAGUAAUACCAACCUAACUGUUCUUCAAAAUUAUCUGAACUAAAUUGAACUGGAUGGGCCAAACAUCACCUCACCAAAAAUCAAAUUUCCAUAGGAUAUUCUAGGUCAUCAUAUCAAGUAUGAAAACAGUUGUAUGAAUUUGUUUUUUCGAACUAGCAAUAAUUGAAGAUCCUUGAAUAGCAUUAUUUUUUUUUUGGGAGAUCUUCAAGCAAAAUAAAUGCAGAAGCAUAGCUUACCAAGAUUCACUAACAUGAAAUCAAAACCAAAGCACUAAGCAACAGCAUGAUGUUCAAAUCACAAAAAACUGUUAACCAAGCAUGGAAAAGGAGAGAGUUCAUAAAAAAUGAUGGUAUACUAAACUUGAACAGAAUGUUUUUUCGCUUUCAAUUUCACUAAACCAAGAAGAUGACUAUGUUGCUCGGAGUUAUGUUUACUUUUAUCGUUCAGCGUUUUCUUUUCUGAUAAGGCAUCAUCUUGAGCUUUCUUUUCGUUUUUCUUUUUGUUUUGUUUGGGAUCCUUUAAAAGCAGAGGGAUUUUUUAGAAGACAGACAAUUAUUACACCAUGCAAGAAGUAGUUACAGAGAAAGAGUUAAAAGUAGAGAUAAAGAAAUUAACCUGUUAGAAAUUGGAAACUUCACGACCCUUGCACAUAUAUCUAGUCUCUACUCUCUACAUUGGUACAAAUUAGAGUUAACUGGCAUUCUAAUGUUGUUCAGCAUGUAUCAGCGACUAAGGCAGGCAAUCAACCGAUAUUCAAAGCAUUCUGAUGAUACAGCUCUAAUUAGCCCUUAGUAGUAUGAAUUGCUAAAAUUGGUAUGAAUUGCUAAAAUUGGUUUCUCUGAGGUAAAUAACUGGUGGAACAAUACCAUUAUUAUUUUCAACUCCAAAGCAAUCAAAUCUAUGGGAGAAAUGUUAGCCAGAACUUCUCAACAUUUUAACAGAUCAACUUCUUAACUUAAUGACUGAACUUCAGAAAACUAUUUUCUUUUCCUGAUGAAUAGUAGAGGCAGCCAAUCUUACACAAGUGGUAUCUUUCAUCUAAAGGCAAAAUGAUUAGGUAGUAACCUCCAGAACUAAGUUUUAAUGCUUGGGCUUUGAGACGAGUUUGAUGGAUAUUUCUAGCACAUAUAACAAGUAACUUUCUGAAAUAAAAGGAGAUCAAAACAACCAGUACAAGUCUACAUGAAGAAACAAGCAAGUGCUUGCAUGUCCAUGCUGUUCAAUUUUUAACUUCUAGUGGUUGGUGGUCUUCAAAGGGUAAUGAUGACCCAAAUAGCUUCUAAAUCUAUUUCUAUUGCCAACCCUGACGUUUUUCACCAAUUAGUAUUCAAUCGGAAGCCUAUGUUUUUGCAAAAUUGAUAAGUACAUGAGAUUGUACAAAAGCUAUACAAUGAACAGGUGGUUUAAUCCAACGAACAGCUUUAUGCUAUGAUGACGAAACAUGAAAUCACAAUUUAUUGCACAAUGGAUCAAUUCAUAUACACAAGCUUGUAAAUAACUAGGCAAAUAUAACUGUACAUUGCACAAGGAGAACCUUUUGCAACUAUAUGCGACAACAAAUUAGAUAAUAAACUGAAGAAGGUUGUCAAAAGGGUGGAAUCAAGAAAGAAAUGCGCAUAAAAACUGACUCAGCCAGAAAAGGACUAGUAUUCUUAUAGCACACCCAAUUAUAUCAAGGCUCAAUGAGGAUAGAACAAUGAGCAUGUAAAUGAAGGAUAAUCCUGUUUAAAUGAGAAGAGAGGAGGGAUCGUUAGAGGAACUACUAGGAAAAAACAAGGGCCUCUUAUUCCUGGUUACCAAAUUUCUUAGCAAUGAUAGGUCGGACAUCAUCAGCCUCAGCCAGUUUCUCUAGGAAUGGAAGUAAAGAAAUUAGUGCAGAGUCUGAAGGGUCAUCAAACCAACUCUUAAUAGGAAUCCCAUUAUUCACUUGCAAUCUGAAAACCUGAAAUCAAGAUGGAAAAUUACUAUUCAGUUACAUAAAACAACAGCCUUACUUCAUGCUCAAAUAAGCACUCUGCAUAUUGCUAUGUUGUUGUUCAAGUCCCACAAGUUUUUCUCCAAUUUCCAACUAAGCACAUCAAACUUGAAAGGAACUCACAAACAUAAAGAAUACAUUUUUUUAACAAACAAUUUUGAAUUCUUCCUACAGAAAACUAGAGUAGGCCUAAUACAUGUAAUGCAUCUAUUUUACAAAUUUAACCAAAAUAAAGAAAAGGGUUCUACCAACCCAGCAACUACUACUACUACUGCACCUCAGUUCCAAAUCAGGGUUGGCUAUAUAGAUCCUCAUUGACCAUGUUUCUCCAUUUAUAAUCUUCUCAGGCCAACAUUAUAUGACAUAAAAAUGGAAAGUAUGGAAAGUACUUGACAUUCUCUAGAUUUCUAGUGGCAUAGGAUUAUCUAACAGGGGUAAAAGACUCCUCGAAAGCAUAGGACUUAAAGCAAACAUAUUAACAUGAAUAAAGCAUACUCCCAAAUAAUAGGAUAAGCGUAUAAUAUUAGGUUUAUCAUCAAAUUCAAGAUGCAAGUAGAUUACCUGUGGAGAAUUAUCUACAAUUACAACUUUUGCCAGAUCAACACCUAAUACUGUUAAAUCCUUGGUAUAACUUCCAUCAGAGAAGAUGCAUGAUUCACGAUAUGCGCGCCUUGAAAUAAUCUUUCCAUCUGGAUCCAGAAUAUCCAACAGUUGCUUUGCAUAUAUGCUCUGACUAGCGGUAAAAAUUACAAUUUCAAACAUCUCUGCGACUCUCUCCAAGAAUAUCUGGAGGUGAGGCCUCUGUUUCACAUAGACAAUGUGUUCUUUCAUGCUGAAGAAAACCCGAAAUGUGAAGUCUGCGUCAUCACAGUGCUCCAGAGUAGAAUGAACAAGUGUCUCUGAAGACAUGAAAUGAAUACACAUGAUAUUAGACCAUCUUGUUGGAACCAUGUGUUAUACACUGUAAAAUAUAAGUGCUGUACAAGAAUGUACCAGGGUACACCCUGCUGUAAAAGAAUCUUUCUACUUUACGGAAACAAUAUUAUUUCUGGUGCCAUCAUUCCUACUUCUAACUAGCCUUCAGGUACUGCAAAGAUUGUUUUUAAGCCAAGCUACACAUUGCAUCAUUUGUAGUGUAACAAUAAAUUGCAGCAAAACUAUAAUGAGAAGUAAAAUUGGAGUACCCAAGUAGAAUCUCACCAUCUAAGUCAAGUACUAGGGUGAUUGAUUUGCAUCUUCGUGAUUGUUUUGGCAAAAUAUUUGGCCUCUCUAAUAUGUCUGGCAAAUUUCUUAUGAAACUAUGUGGGUCAAAGCAUUCUGCUUGGUCAUCGGACUCUAUAUAUGUGAAAGCAUCAGAUUGUUCAGAUGAUCUGAGCUGGUGAAUAGCCAUGUAUAAGCUCGAAUCAUCCGACUGAACGGCAGUUUCUCCAGAUGUUCUGCACUCUUGACUAUAGCUAGCUACUGCUGUGUCUUCAAGAAAAGGCAACAGCAAGCAUUCCUCAUCAACAUUAGUGAAGAUAUUUGGCUCUUCACACUUGUAAUCAGACAAGAAUCUGUCAGUUAAACUGUCAUCAUAGAUGUUUUCACCCUCGACGGCUAAACAAGAAACAAUCAUAUCAGAGAUGUAGAAGUCUGAAACAUUGCAUGUCUGAAGUUCACACGAACUUCUGCUGCUAUCACUAUCUUCAGUCUCCAAUUGGGGUACAUAAAAAUCAUUGCUUGCUGUAAGAAACCAAAACCAAGAUAAGUUUAUGUAAGAAUGAUUUUUUUUGCAAGAACUUGAAGAGAGAGAAAGGGUAAGAGUUGUGCUUCUCAGCUCUUAUCAUCUAAGGCCUGAAGGGCUUCUGGUUGUUCGAUAACAUCCUUUUCAAGAUCAAAUGAAGCAAAAUCUAAGGGUAGGCUGUUGGUUUGCCUAAGAUCUUUUUCAGGGCGAAGAGAAGAAGAAAUAAAAUUUGAUUAUGAAUUCCACAAUCAACAAAAAAAUGCAACAAAAUUGGAGGUGUACCUCCAUCACUUGGAUCAGAAUCACUGUGUGCACCAACAGGCUCCAAAGUAGGUGAAAAGAUGGUCUCUGAACUUGAUUUGGAGGUUACUACUGAAGACUCCUGCAUUGAUUUCAAAACAUGAUGGUACAGUACAAACAGCAAAAAUCAAAUUGUCUAAUCUUAGCAUGCAGGCACAAGUAUGGCAUAGAAACUAAAAUGUAAAACUGUUGGGAGAUGGGAGCAUAUAUCCUAGUGUCUACCAGCCCUAUAAUAUGUGAAUUUUCAUGAAGUAAUAAUGUGCGAGCUAUAUUAUGUGAAUUAUAUAUUUCUUUCUAGCUGACCCUCAUAAAACAAAUCAAGUCAAUUUUUGAGAUGGAAUACAUGUCAUACUUUUCCUGACACUCAUGUCUCAGCCCUUUCACAUAAUGUUAUCUUCACACAGCCACUAAAGUAGAGAUAUGGAGAGAGUAGCUUAAAUGCAGACCUUUCUUUGGUUCCUUGUUUGCUCCUAAGAAUUUCAACAUUCAGUUUCUGUGUCUCCAUAAUGUCUAUGAAAAACAUAUUUAUGACCAUUCACCCGUGAAAUUGAAACUACAUAAAUUUAUUAUAGAGCAAGCUGAAGAUGCACGACAGCAAUAUAUGUAUAUUUGGAAAAAUCAUUACCCAUAAUACACCAAAUAGUUGAAAGAAAUGAAUAAAUAAAUUAAGACUACUAUACACGAAACUUAAAACAUCAGGUACUAAUAGUUAUCACUCCACAAUGUAUUUACCAUUUUAUCAAGGAUUGGAGAACCAGUAAUAGGUGGCUGUUGCUUUUCAAGCAGUUCAUCUGGCAAAUCAUUAGCAUGAUCUCCAUUUCUUCCGACUUGGUUUGGAUAUACUUUAUAGUAGAUAGGAACUGCAAAAAUUAAAGUAACUGAUGAAUGAAAUAGGAUGAGCAGUACAAAGAAAUGUCAACGUCAGAUAGAGCAGAGACUUCCAUUGUUAAACUUGCGCGUGGGUGAAGAGAAAAGCAUCAAACUCACACCAUCAAAAUCACAAAAUUCUUAUUCUUAAGAGCCAUACAAUAGAACCAACUUACCAUCCUGAGUACUAUGAAUCAGAUCUGCAACUUCGUCUGCAUUCUGCACACUCCUGGUUCGAGAGAGAGAACUCUUGGAUAUGACACUUGACUUUGGACAGACAUGGAGACCAUUUUUCGAACUGGAUGUGGCUAUAUUUGUCUUCAUUUUUAGUGAUGGCAUUUGAUUCGUACUUUGGAUAUCUAGCACAAUCUUGAUCUGAAAGCAUCAGUAGGGAUUCAAGCCACAAGAGACUGCUGUCAGAGAAGAUCGAAAAAACUUUAGAAUUCAUGGCCACAUCUGAAGGUUAGCAUAUAGAAAAGUAGAAUGAAUAGCACUCCGUUUUUACUCAACUGUAUGUAGUGAAAUAAUCAACAGAAAUCAUACUCAAAUGAACUCUGCCAAACCAAAAAUCAGAAUCACUUUAAUAUAAAGGAACAGAGAAAACUCCUGCUAUCAUAACCCACACCUAAAACUCAACUAUUGGCUGAAGCAAAAAUCAAGCACAUCUUUAUAGAUAAUUUUCUGCACUGAAUAGUUCUCCCCCAUCCAAGCAUGGAAACAACUUUUUUUUAACCACAAUUUGCUAAUAUUGCACCACCAAAUUUUAACAAAUGUUACAAGAGUGGUGAAAUCACGCCUUCUGAUCAGUUCCUAUGUAAAGAUGGAUAAUAAGACCAAUUUUUUUUUGCUGACUUUUUAAAUUUUCUCCACACAAACCCAAGAAACUGGAUCUGCCAAUAGAAAACACCCAAUUCACACCACCAAACAUACAAAAUCUUCUUCCACAUAGGCAUGCCGGAGGUAAAAUCCUUUUGUCUCAAUCGAUCAAUACUGUGUCAGCUGGAUAAAUUACUUGUUUCACACAACUCUUCUAGUCAUGUUUUUUUACUCUUCACCUCCUACAUCACUAUUUACUCCCCAAACUUCAUCCUUUAUUAUUAUCUUCCAAAAUAGAAGCUUAAUUUCCCUAAACAUUGAAAAAAAUUACCAGAAAAUGAAAACUUUCCCAACAAAAAACAAAGAUAAGAUGCUAUUUCUCCCCACCUUUGAUGUUGACCACAUAAAGACUCUUUUUUUAAUCAGAACCCUCCAAAGACGGAUUACAACUGUGGAAAGAACUACUUUUUUCCAAAUAUUUUUCCUCCUCAGCUCAUGAAAACCCGAACCUUCCCUCAAAUUAACGCAAUUCAAACCUAUCAAGAAUCCUAUAAACCACCGCAUCACCCAUACACUCUAGAUAAAACAUCUCUAAUUAAGAUCCGCAAUAACAAAGGCUCACUCUCCUAAUUUCUUAGAACUAAAAAAUAACAAUCAAAUUUUUUUAUAAAAAAAAAUGAAAGCAGUAUACUGCACAUGUGAUAAAGAAAAUCAUCGUGAAUUUUAUACCACACAUAACUACUCCAUACUCCAUAUUUCCACAAUUAUUUGCAAAAAAAAUAACUAAAAAUCAAAACUGUAUUUCUAAUUAAGAAAAAAUUGAAACUAUACCAGUAAUGAAGUUGUAAAAAAAAUCACAAAAGAAGAGAAAACCAAAACCUCAACAUAAUACAAAGUAAACCCAGAAGAUCGCAAAAGUCAACUCCAAUCAACUUUCAGCAAUUCAAUAACGAAUCACACAUAUCAUAGCACCUAAUCAAACAACUAAAAUUACAAAUGAUUAACAGAUCAAAAACCCUAUAAAUUCAACCAUACCUCAAAAUUCAAAGUCCAAAAACGGCUCAAAUUACCAAAUUUAAACAACAAAAAACUAUAGGUAGAGUUACCAACAAAAACAGCUCACAGAUGAUAAGUAGACAAAGAGAGAGUCGGCGUAGAGAUACAAAUUUCUGUAUCUAUAGGUUUGUCUAUAUAUACAUACAUAUAUUACCUGGUAGAGUCACCAAGCGUCUCUCUCUGUCUUACUUUCUCUCUCUAAACCCGCGCUUUUCUCUCUCUUUGCCUGCUCUUUGUAUUGGAGAAAGGGGUAUUAUUGUCUACGCCUGAUACUUAAUGACCAGUUUUUGUACCAUAAGCUGUAACUAGUUGUACCUUCAAGGAAUGUGAACUAGGAGUACUUUUUUUUACUUCUUUUGGUUAUGUUUUUUCCUUGUUCACAUUGUUUCAAAUUUGGCUAUAGUAUUUUCCCUUUUUUUUUUCAUUCAGUGCUCAUAUAAAGCCUCAUUAGGGGAAAGCAUUUUGUACUAAAGAUUUUUUCAUACCCAGCGCUCAAACUCGAGAUCUCUAGUUAAGGAAAGAGCAGUCUCAGCCGCUGCACCACAUUCUUUGAUGAUAGUAUUUUUCGUUUGUUUAAAAAUGUCUUUUGGCUUUUUGAUAGUUUUUAACUUUUUAUUAUGCAAGGUCGAGUUUGAAGCUUGAUAUGAUAGACUUAAUAACACAGAGUCAUUUAGAAGGAGAAAUAAGGAAUAAUUAAUCUCAAAAAUUAAUUUUAGGAUAAGCUUAUUUCAUGUUUGAUUGGGAUAAAAUAUAUGAAAUUAGUUAUGUCGAGAUGAUAGUCUUAUUUUUAUUGUUACUUGAGGGUGAAUAAUUAAUUCUGUGAUAACUAGUUUUUAUUUGUCCUCGUGUCUUCUUGAUGUUAGAUGAUGUUGUAUUAGUGUUAACUUUGUAAUUUUAACAUCGGUUGUAGUGCAGUAGAUGGACUGUUCCACCAUUAAUCAAAGGUCGAGGGUUCGAUCCUGAAUAUGAAGAAAACUAUGUUGGGAGCGCUGUCACCUUAAUGGGCCCUGCAAUACGCGAUCUGAAUUAGAUUAGUCGGGAUUACAAUGCGGGCACCAAACACCGGAUGGAAACAAAAAAACUUUGGAGUACCUCAUCAGGACACCACAUUAGUAUAUAAUUAUACAAUAUGAGUAACUGAGAAGUGUUUUUUAAAAAAAAUAGUAAUCACUUAGAUAUCUAUCUAAUGUAAAUUUAUUACACAAAAUAAUCGUACUUUAUUUUGAUAACCUCAUUAUAAUCAACUUUCACGAGUUAUUUACUUUUAUUAACCAGAUUAAUAGUUUGAUAAUUGUAGAAUAUCGAUUCUAAUCACGUGUUUAUAUGGUAAGAAAAUGUAUAUUUGAUUUAUAGUUAUUGUAUAGAUAUCUUUCUGGUGUAUAAUUAAUGUAUAACUAUUUUUUCUUAUUAUAUAAUGUUUAGAUCAAUAACUAAUGUAAUUAUCUUUAUAACAUAAUCAUAGUAGAAUUAAUUGUAUAUUAUGCCUCUUUUCUAUGAUUUCAACGCUAUAACAAAAGGAAAAAAAUACAUUUUCAAAAUAACGAUUAUACUUCCUUGCAAAUCAAUAGAAUUUCAUACUAUAGUCAACCCAACACCAACCAUUUCAUUAAAUGACUCACAACUUUAAAUUUUACCGAAAAGUCUUAAUUUUAAAUUUUCAAUUUUCACUAGAACUAGAAUAUAAUCAGAGGCGAAGUCAAUAUUUCUGCUGAGAGAAUUCAAAGUUAGAAGAAAAAUUCACUGAAGGGGGUUCAACAUCUAUAACAUAUACAGAAAAAUCAUUUUAACCAUAUAUUAAUAGUAUAAUUUUUCGUAAAAAGAAAUUCGGAUGAACCCCCUAUUACUAGGUUGGUUCCACCUCCGAGAAUAUAUUAUUUAAGCUUGUUUAUUCUUUUAUAACUUUUUUUUUUAGGCAAAAAAGAAAAUUAUUCAACCAAUUAAGGGUGUGUUUGGUAUGAAGGAAAAUGUUUUCCAUGGAAAAUAUUUUCCUAGAAAAUGUUUUCUUGGAAAAUAAAUUGAUUUCUUGCUUGUUUUCUUAUGUUUAGUUGGUGGAAGAAAAAUAUUUUCUAGUAUUUGGUUGGUGAAUGAAAUUUUAUUUUUUUUCAAAAAAUAUAUUUUAGUGUUUAGCUAAAGCGUAAAAAUACAUUUUAGAAUCUUUUUUAAAAAAUAAAUCCUUUUUUGAGAAAAGGAGCUGGGGGCCAGGGUAAGGGAGUGAUGGGAAGGGGGAAGAAAAAAAUUUAAAAAUAAAUUUAUUUAUUUUGAGGUUGGGGGUAGAAAAAUUUGAAUUUUUUAAUAAAAUAUAGAUAUUGUUUUUGGAAGGGGAUCGGAGCUGGUAGGGAUAGGGGUAGGGUGGGGGUAUGGGAUAGAUAAGAAAAAAAUUUGAAAUACUUUUUAAAACAAUUAAAUUUUGGGGGUGGGGGUAGGCGUGGGGUGGUGUAGGGUGAUAGGGUAUUGGGGGCGAGGUAUAUGAUUUUGAGAAUUGUAUGAACAUUUCAACUUGAAAGUGAGGUUGAAAGAGAGUUUUGAAAAAUGUUUUCCUGACUUUUUGAAGAAAAGUCAUUUUCCUUAUAUUUAAGGAAAAUAAGCAGUCGUUUGGCCAUAGAAAUUUUUUCCUUUUUUUCCGAAAAAUUAUUCUACUUAAGUGAAAAAAAUGAAAACACGCACCGUUUGGCCAUGAAUUUUCCAACUCCGAAAAAUUAUUUGGAAAAGUGAAAACAGGUUUUACUUGUUUUCACUUUUACUUCUUUCACAAAAUUUCAAAAAUAACUUUAAUUUAUAUUCAUGGUCAAACACAACUCCAACUCCAACUUCAUCUUCAACUCCAACUCCAACUCCAACUCGGCAAAAAAGUAAUUUCCAUGGCCAAACGGGGCCUACGUUGGUUUGAAAAACAUUUUUCAAAACAUAUAAGCCAACCAAACAUAAGAAAACCAGAAAAACACACCCUAAGUGUUAAAGAAAUUGACACAGAUCAAAAAUAAUAUUAACUCAAUCAAAUAGUGAAGACUUACAUCUAGCUCUUGAUAAUGCAUAACUAGUUUUGCACAGUAUCGUCUAGGUUUUUUUAUUCGGUGUUCGCUAUCUGCAUUAGAGUUUAAUUAAUCCGGAUUCGCACCGAAUGGGGCUCAUGCGAGGGUAGUGCUCUAUACCUAGGAUUCUAACUCGAGACAUUUGAUCAAGGAAGGAACAAUCUCAUGCAACACAUCUUAUGGUGGUACAAUAAUGUCGAGCUAGUUGACUAUCAUAUCAAGAACUCAAAACUAAAAUAAACCAAGAAAUUAAAAAAGUGACCAAAAUAGGCCACCUAUUUAAAAAGUUACCAAAAUAGGCUAAUCGUAAUAAUUUAUUACGUUUUCCACUUUUUUCUUAACGGUCAACUAACGGAGUUAACUUUUUAUAAAACGUAAAAAAUUAUUACGUUUUACAUAUUUAUUUGUAAAACGUAAUAAUUUUUUCCGUUUUCUAAAAAAAAUAUGUAAAACGUAAAAAUUUCUUAUAUUUUACACGAAAUUCGAUAAAAAAUACAGUAUUUUGUCACAUCCCUAAUAAAUUAUUUUUAAAAAAAAAUUGUAGUAAAAUGUAACAAAUAAUUACGUGGUCCACUUUUUGAAAAUAUGCUACUGAUUUCAGUUGACAUCACUGUGGUCCCCUCCCCCACCCCACUUUCUUUUUUAUAUCCUAUUUCCUUUUAAGUUUCACUAUUACUAGUCCAAAUAAUUUAUUUUUUCCUCUGUAAUAAACUUUUACGUUUUACAUAAAAAAAUUAAAAAUGAUAAAAAAGAGAAAUAUCAAUUACCUCACGAACUUAGCACUUUCCUUAUAUUUAUUUUAUAUCAAAAAAUAACCGUUUCUAUCCUUAAUUAUCCGAUUUAUCUCUAAAAAAAAUGUCACGUCCCAAAUUAAGAAGGACAAAUAAGACCGCAUACACUUACCCUACAAGCACUCUACAAUGUACGCAAGGUUAUGAGAUAAUAAGGAACGGGAUAUUCAAUAUAAGUUAUAUACAUAUGCGAGAGAGUUGUAUUAACAAAAUUGAACAUUACGAUACUACAUGAUGUCCAUGAAGCCUUUAGUCAGCUUGACACGUGAUACUUCAAGUGACUAGUUGGCAUAGGGCCUGUCAUGCCCAACUAGGUACCUGUACAUGUACCCAAAAAGAAUACUAGGCAAAGGCCGCUCCAGGGAGAGAUGGAGCUCACCAAAAUAUCAGUUGAAAACGACAAUAGAGCCUAACGUGGAUGUCUGUUAUCCUGAGAAUCUGAGCCUGCAUUAAUAAAACAAAGUGGGACCGAGAUGUCAGUACAUAAAAAAUUUGUACUGAUAUGAAAGCAGAUAGAAUAACAGCUGAACAAGUACAGAAGCUCAUAUAAGUCAAAUGAUAAAGUGAAGUACGUAUGAGCCAAUUAGUAACACAUAGGAGUAUAUGAUAUGAAUUGAUAACUUUUGUACGAACCUUACUAGUAUCUUAUACAAUGUUUAAAAAAAACAUUCAUUAUAAUUUAGGGCUUAUACUUUGUCUAGGUGAUGCUCCUAUCCUAUAAGUCAUACACAUAAUCACAAGAUGGCCUUCCGAAGGCGAUCUGAGGCAAGUAUAAAGCAUACGUUGCUCUCAUACUCAUUGCUAUGAUAACAUAUGUGUAACUGUAAUCGUAGUCUGUAUCGUAUCCAGGUACGCCACUCCCAGGGGCUCACUAUGAGGGUCUGUCCGCAGGCCAUAUAUGUCAUAUGUUGGCUCGAGUCAGGGGAAACUAAUAAAGAAUGUUUCAGUUGACUUCAAAUACAAAUGACGCCACAAAGGCGGGUACGCCCAAUGAUUGGGCUCACUAUAGUGGCCUGGUCUCGACCUUGUGCACAGAAUCACGUCGAGCGAUAUGUGAAGCCAAACCUAUGUACCCUCCCAUCGUUAAUGUUUAUCAAAUAAUGCCCCAAAGGCCUAUAACACAUGAGUUACGAUAAUGAUUUUUUAACUAACCAUGUAUAAGUGAAGCUAUGCUAUUACUACUUACUUUAACGUGUAAGGGCUUCAAGUAUAGAAACUAAUAAUAAUAUGAAAGUAUGAUAGAACAUUAACACAAAUAGUGAGAGAUAGAAUAGAACAUUAACACAAAUAGUGAGAGAUAGAUACUUAUAGGCUUGAUAGUAGAGUGAAGGAAUGAUAUGUAAACCAAUAUACAAAGGUUCUACUUUCGUAUUUCAUGAGAAUUAUAUUAAAAUUAAUGGGAAGGAGUACAUGGCGUAGGAUGGUGCCUUAAUGGCGAGAGAAGGUUUAGAUUUACAUACCUUAGUGCCUUAUUAACUACGUUAAUAAUUCGAGCCUCAAGUUUUCAACCCGCUGGAGUGUAGUCUUUAUUUUUUCCAACCACUAGUCCCUGUUAGCUGAUACGUAAAUAACUAGCUACAAGGAUAACAGAUACGUCCAUUAGUAACUCGUAGGUGCACUUAAUACCUUAUUCCGAUAAUUUUUACUUAUGACCGAAAUUAAUCAAAUUCCUUAACAAGAACCCGGGAUAAAUUUCAACUCCUUCAGCUCAUACAAAUCAACAUAAAAUACAUCCAACUGAUAGAAAUUCCUAAAACUUUACUUUACCAAAAUUUCAUCUCUUUCACGAAUUUUAGUUGUAAAUCCAUCUCAAAAAGUCGUGCAAGGAUUCAAAUUAACCAUAGUUAACAACUUUUACUGCACCCCAACAUUUUCUAUGAUCAAAUUCAAAUAUGAGGUGAAGAAAUUACCUUUUUGAAAGAAUUCUCCAAUUCAAGUUCUUGAGAAUUCUUGAUAAAACUAGUAGUUUCUAGUAAUCAAAGACUAUGAAACGUCUCCCCUUGAAGGAAUAUUUUUCGUAUGCUUUACAAUCCUUUCAAUUUUUCUUGUCAAGAGCUGCACAAAGAGAAUGGUAGAGAACCAUGGGAAAAGUUCCUAGAACGUGAAAUUUGAAAAGGAAUAUAACUUUCCCUUUAGUAUCACUACACACUAUUAUUAUACUAAAGAAAGAAAAGAAAUGUCCAAGGGCGCAUGUACACUUAUAAUAUGUACUAGUUUAUGGGCACGCAUGUUACGCGUAUAUCCCACAUGAUAAUUAAUUUUUUCUUAAAAAAAAUAACAUAUCGCUGAAAAAAAAUAUGAAAUUUCAAUCAGUUUUUUUUUAUCAAUUACCAAGAUAAGUAGCUAAUUAGGAUUUGAUUUAUGAAAUUAGGAAAAAGACAAAAGUACUCGUGAUCUAUUACUUUAGAGAUCUUGAUGUUUUUACCCUUUUAACUUUGUACCUAAGAAAUUUAUCAAUCUUUAUUCAUUGUGCAACUGCAACAACAUAACAUAUGGGUAUCCAGUUCUAUUAUUAAACAACUCAUAUAAGUAAAGGAACACAUUAAAUGGGAAAAAGAGAAUUCAAUAGGAAUGAAAAUAAAAAUAUUUUAAUCUUUCUUGAAAAUUAACGAAAAAUCUAUGGUAAAAUAUACAUUAAAGAAUUAAGAACUUUCUUAUCAUAUCCUUAUUAUAGCUAGGUCCGUUGUUUCUCAAUUGUGCAAUCUAAAUGACAAAUCAACAAAUUACUUUAUCGACAAAAAGACAAUUCUAACUUAACAUCAUAAGGUACAACAAAGAUAUGACGGAGAGGAGAAGAUAAAGACCAUAUGUUUUUUCGCCAUACAUGACUAAUCACAGAGAAACACUAAGUAAAUAACAAUUUAUAUUAGUACAAAUUUAAAAAUCUUAAAUUAACAUAAUAGGUUGCUAUGAGUAAGAAUUGUAAAGCGAAAUAUGACUACAAUGACGAAGUGACAAUUAUAUUCCUUAAGAGAUGUAUUACUCUAACUGUUUCAAUAUCAAUUGAGAAUUAAACAAAUAACUUUCAAAAUUGAUAUGGUAGUUACGUAGAAUUCAGAAAAUAGAACAAUCGAGGUCGAUAGUGAUAAUAGAGACUUUUAAACUUCUUACAAUAUUAUGAAAUAUGAAAAAAUUACAAUCAAGUGACAUAAACACAAAUAAUUUAUGCAUCAUCAUUAUGAUAUUUAUUACAAUCAAGUGACAUAAACACAAAUAAUUUCAUUGUUGGGCCCAAAUUCGAGCCCUUUCACGCGCCUGUGGCGCGUGUAUACACGCAGAGGGUCAAAAUGAUGUGUUUGCAACGGAUUAAGUAAGAAUCAUGGGAUAAUAGGUCAAAUUCGAAGUUUAGGUGUCUUUUUGAAAAUCUCGUCCAACAUCAAUGGGGUAAUUAUGUAUUUACUCAAUUUAAAAAUCUUAAAUUAACAUAAUAGGCUGCAAUAAGUAAAAAUUGUAAAGAGAAAUAUGACUAUAAUGGCUAAGUGACAAUUAUAUUUCUAAAGAGAUGUAUUACUCCAACAGUUUCAAUACCAAUUGAGGAUUAAACAAAUAACUUUCAAAAUUGAUAUGGCAGUUACGUAGAAUUCAGAAAAUUUCAGAAAAUAGAACAAUCGAGGUCGAUAGUGAUAAUAGAGACUUUUAAACUUCUUACAAUAUUAUGAAAUAUGAAAAAAUUACAAUCAAGUGACAUAAACACAAAUAAUUUAUGCAUCAUUAUUACGAUAUUUAUUACUAAUCUUCCAUUUCACCUUAGAAUUGAAGAAUCAAAAGAUACACCACACUCAAGUUCAGAAGUUCAAUAUGUUAAAUGAUCGAUUUGGUUUUUCAAUUCACACUCACAUUUGAAUAGUUGAUGGUCUUCCACAUGCAACAGAUGAAAUAAUUCAUUAAUAUUUUAAUUAUAUUUUCUUCGUUUCGUUUUAGUUGGCCUUAUUGACUUGACACUCCCCUUAAGAAAAUAUUUAAUAGAGUUUUAUUUUACUAAUGUAACCCUAUUGAUUACGCAUUGAAAAUAUAAAUUUGAAUAAAAACACUUUACAAAAACCAUUUAAUGAUAGAGGUAGUAUUGAAAAAACACAAUAAACUUCUCUUGAUUUUAGAACUUCAACAACUAAAAUAAAAUAAAUAUUUUUAACAAGAGUGCCAACUAGUAUGAAACGGAGGAAGCAGUAUUUUUUACUUCAGACAAAUGUUAUUGGAAUGGUAUCUAAUUGUAAAGACAAAUAUGUUAUGUAAUUUUAUAAAAACAUUUUGGUAUAACUUUUUUACUUUGAUUGAUCUCAUAGAAUCAAACUAUAAGUAAAUAUGAUAAGCAAAUAUAUACUUCUUAAAAUUGAACACCAAAACAGCCACUUCAUAAGUUACUGAAACUCAAUUUUUCCUUGAAUUUCUUUCCAAAAUUCAAAGAGAUUUGGAGAAGAUAAAAAAAUUAUACUAACUCCUAAAAUAAAUGAUUGAAAUUCACAUAUAUUAUAAUAAAAUAAUAUAAUAUCAAAUGACAAUUUAUAUAAGUACAAAUCUAAAAAUCUUAAAUUAACAUAAUAGGCUGCAAUAAGUAAGAAUUGUAAAGCGAAAUAUGACUACAAUGACUAAGUGACAAUUAUAUUUCUAAAGAGAUGUAUUACUCCAACAAUUUUAAUAUCAGUUGAGGAUUAAACAAAUAACUUUCAAAAUUGAUAUGAUAGUUACGUAGAAUUCAGAAAAUAGUACAAUCGAGGUCGAUAGUGAUAAUGGAGACUUUUAAACUUCUUACAAUAUUAUGAAAUAUGAAAAAAUUACAAUCAAGUGACAUAAACAUAAUAAUUUAUGCAUCAUUAUUAUGAUAUUUAUUACUUAUCUUCCGUUUCACCUUAGAAUUGAAGAAUCAAAAAAUACACCACACUCAAGUUCAGAAGUUCAAUAUGUUAAAUGAUCAAUUUGAUUUUUCAAUUCACACUCACAUUUGAAUAGCUGAUGGUCUUCCACAUACAACAGAUGAAAUAAUUCAUUAAUAGUUUAAUUAUAUUUGAGAAAAUGGUCAAAAGACCCUCCAAGCUUUGCCCAAAAUCUCAACUACACACUCAAUCUUCACGGGAGUCCCAUCACCCCCCUGAACUAUUUUUUCAUGUAUUUAUUACCCCUCCAAAUGCUGAUGUGGCAACUUAACCCAAAUCAUAAUGUCUUCGUAUUUACACGUGCUGGGCCCACACCUUCCAGGACAUUUCCCUCCUAAAUCUUCAUAUGGUCCCAUAAACACCCUUUGAGCUACUUUCUCUUCUCUUCUCUUCUCUUCUCUCUCUUCCAUUCUUCCUUCAUGAAAUUCCUCCAUUAUUACAUGCAAAUUUAGUCAUUUUUGUGUAUGAAUCUACUCUUAAUGAUAAAGUUUUGUGGAUUUUUGAAGAUUUUACAUUUGAUUGUUGGUUUAAUUUAGGAGAGGUACAUGUUUUUGCCAUAAACUAAUUUCAUUGUUAGUUAGGGUUUGCCGUAAGCAUAUGUUGACUGCUUAAUAGAUUUCUUUUCAGAAGUUGGGAUUAAAAGCUAAAACUUAGGUUAAAGAAAUAAAAAAAAGUGGAAGAAGAUGAAGGUAGUAGGUGGACAAAGAGAAGAGUAAUAUAAAGAAGAGGAAAUAAUCGUUGCAAGCCAUUCUCGAUUUAUUUCUUCAAAGUAUCAUUUAAUGAUGUGUAUUAUACAGGUGGAAGGCUAAAAUCUUCAGUUUGGAGUUGUUGGGACUAAACCAACGCGCCUAGAGGGGGUGUUCUCACCUUCCUUGCCGCAUCAGCAUUUGGAGAGGUAAUAAAUACAUGAAAAAAUAGUUGAGGGAGGUGAUAGGACUCUCGUGAAGAUUAAGUGUGUAGUUGAAAUUUUGGGUAAAGCCUGGAGGGUCUUUUGACCAUUUUCUCAUUAUAUUUUCUUCGUUUCAUUUUAGUUGGCCUUAUUGACUUGACACUCUCCUUAAGAAAAUAUUUAAUAAAGGUUUAUUUUACUAAUGUAACCCCAUUGAUUACGCAUUAAAAAUAUAAAUUUGAAUAAAAUCACUUUACAUAACCAUUUAAUCAUAGGGGUAGUAUUGAAAAAAACACAAUAAACUUCUCUUGAUUUUAGAACUUGAACAACUAAAAUAAAAUAAAUAUUUUUAGCACGAGUACCAACUAAUAUAAAAUGAAGGAAGCAGUAUUUUUACUUCAGACAAAUAUUAUUGAAAUGUAUCUAAUUGUAACGACAACUAUGUCAUGUAAUUUUAAAAAAAAAUUUGGUAUAACUUUUUUACUUUGAUUGAUCCCAUAGAAUCAAACUAUAAGUAAAUAUGAUAAGCAAACAUAUACUUCUUAAAAUUGAACACCAAAACAACCACUUCAUAAGCUACUGAAACUCAUUUCCUCCUUGAUUUUCUUCCCAAAAUUCAAAGAGAUUUGGAGAAAUUAAAAGAAUUACACUAACCCAUAAAAUAAAUAUUGGAAUUCAAAUAUAUUAUAAUAAAAUCUUAUGAUAAUCGAGAUAUUAGAACAAUAUAAUUAAACCUAACCUCUAACCCGAUCAAACAUUCAUCUACCAGAAAAAAAUUAUAGAUAGCAACAAAACAAAAGCUACAACAAAUAAUAUGAUAAUCGAGAUAUUAUAACAAUAAUAUUAAAUCUUACCUUUACACAAAAAUUUCUUAAACCCGAUUGAACAUUCAUCUACUGCCUACAUUGAACAAAAAAAAUAGCAUAUACCAAUAGAAUAAUAUGAUAACCAAAAUAUCUGAACAGUACGAUUAAAUCUAACCUUUACACUGAAAUUUCAUAAAACUUGAUCGAAUAUUUAUCUGCCACCUAUAUUAAAUAGAAAAAAUAAUAAAUAGUAACAGUCAUCUAUAUCACAAUAUCAAUAUUUAUUUCAAAAUCUGUAAUAACCCAAAAUUAAAUAAAAAAUAAAUACGAUUAAAAAAUCUGAUUAUUUUCACCACUAAAAACCCUAUACAUUAAACCUAACAACUAUAAAUAUAGAUAUAAAAAAUCUAAGGAAACCUUUUUACAAUGACAAUAAAAAUUUUGGAUCGAUUACCAAAACAACACUACACCUAUAAAGUAUCAAUAAUUGGUAGAAAAAAAUUUCAAGGAAAUUAAAGAAUAAUUUUCUUGCAGUAUUUUCGUCGAACAAGAAAUUUUAUUAGUAAUUGAUAGAAAAAAUCCCAAGAAAAUUGUUUAUUUUCGGCGGACACCCGUGUGUUGUCUGGACGUGAGUGUGUAUAGAUAUUGAAGAUGUAUGGUGAAUUCAACAAACUAAACCUAGACAAAUUACCAAAUAAAAAUUAUCUCUUAUCAUACAUUUUAAAACUCCUAAUUGUAAAAAAAUAGAAGUCAAUAUUAUAAUAAAAAAUUGAAUAUCUCUUACCAUAUAUUUUAGAACUCCUAAUUGUGAGAGAAAAGGAGUCAAUAUUAUAAAAAAAAAUUAAAUAAUAAUUAAAAAAAAAAGAUAAAAAAAUUAUUUUGUCUAUUAUGAAGUAUUUUAAUGAAGGGUAAAAACUUUAAAUUACUUUUCUAAGGAUCUUCACACUUUUAAUAUAUUAUAGAUAUAGAUUUUUAUAUAUAUAACAAAAUACUCCCAAAUCGUUAUCUUAACUGCAGUAACAUAGAAAUACCUUGUACCAAUAUAUACUACUCCCACUUGUUUUUUUUUCUUGUACCGUAAUUUUCUUUAUAGAUCAAAGUUGUACUUAAUUUAAGCAGUUAACUAAAUUCAAAUUUUUCUCAAGAUGCUACAAAAAAUUAUACUUUUGAGUUUUUCUCUACUCCAAAAUAGUGAAAUGUUGAAUUUUUGUCGAUCAAAUAUGUUAUUAUCCAAAAGAAUUAUAUUUUGUUUGUGUGAUAAAAGUAUGAAAUUAAUUUUUUCGGUUAGUGUUCCAUUGUAGAAAUUAAUAUGAAAUAUGUAUCUUACUAUAAUUGAUAGAGUAAAAAAUCACAAUUUGAUUUAGGCGUGUGCAAAAAUUGUACUGAUGUUUCUUAUGAAUUUUUAGUUGUAGUCGAAUCUUAGUUGCAACUAAAAUACUACUUACACACACACACAUAUAUAUGGUGUAAAAUAAUUAUUUAAUAUAAUAUUAUUGGGUUAUCGAUUUAUCAAUAGAAAAAUCGAAAUCGAACAAAUAACAUAGUAAUUUUUUUUAUAAAAUCAUUAAAAAAAUAACGAUAAUUCAAUAACAUUUUUAUCGAUAUAAUUUUUGUAUACCCCCAAAUCAAAUUGUGAUUUUUUACUCCAUCAAUUAUAAUAAGAAACGUAUUUCAUAUUAAUUUCUACAAUGGAACACUAACCGAAAAAAUAAUUUCAUAUUUUUAUCACACAAACAAAAUAUAAUUCUUUUAGAUAAUAGCAUAUUUGAUCGAUGAAAAUUUAACAUUAAACUAUUUUGGAGUAGAGGAAAACUCAAAAGUAUAAUUUUUUUAAAGAUAAAUCGGAUAAUUAAGGAUAGAAGCAGUUAUUUUUUUACAUAGAAUAAAUAUAAGGAAAGUGUUAAGUUCGUGAGGUAAUUGAUGUUUCUCUUUUUAAUUAUUUUUAAAUUUUUUAUAUAAAACUUAAAAAUUUAUUACAGAGGAAAAAAAAUAAUAUUUGGACUAGUAAUAAUGAAACUUAAAAGGAAAUAGGAUAUAGAAAAGAAAGUGGGGUGAGGGAGGGGACCACAGUGAUGUCAUCUGAAAUCAGCAGCAUGUUUUCAAAAAGUGGACCACCUAACUAUUUGUUACUAUGUUUUACUACAAUUUUCAGAAAAAAUAUAGUAAUUUAUUAGGGAUGUGAAAACACUAUAUUUUUUUAAUCGAAUUUCGUGUAAAACGUAAGAAAUUCUUACGUUUUACAUAUUUAAAAAAAAUGUAAGAAAUUAUUAUACUUUACAAAUAAAUAUGUAAAAUGUAAUAAUUUUUGACGUUUUAUAAAAAGUUAACUCCGUUAGUUGAUCAUUAACAAAAAAGUGAAAGACGUAAUAAAUUAUUUCGUUUAACCUAUUUUAGUAAUUUUUUAAAUAAGUGACCUAUUUUGGUCACUUUUUAAAUUUCUUGACUUAUUUUGGUUUCGAGUUCUCAUAUCAACUCAGUGUGCAUGCAUUUGUUUUUUUUAAAAGAUUAAAACGUUUGAAUCUGAAUAAUUAAGAUGUUGUAUCCAGAUCUGAAUACCGAAUGAUUAAGAUUGUUUGUUUUUUAACUUCUGAAUAUACGUAAUUUAUUUAUUUAUAAUAAAUAUGCAAUUUAAAUUUAAAAAGUAAUAAAAUAUUAUUUUAGAUGAAAAAAAUAUUACAUAAAGUAUUAACUUAAAUUAAAAAAAAUAUUAUUUGAGUGAUAAUUAAAAUAUUUAAAGAUAAAUAUAUUAUGUUAAAUAUAAUUAUUGAAUUUUUAAAAUUAUUAAAAAAAAUAUAUAUUGAUUAAAAAUUAUUGUGAUAUGAUGUAACUAUAAAAAAUUAAAUUCAAUAUGAAAUAAUCUGCCAAUUAAACUGAUCCAGCAAACUAAAAUAAUUAAUCAGAUAUAAUUUUGACUUAGAUGCAUAAAUAUUAAAGUAUUUGAAUAACUAAUUAAUACAAGAACGAACACGUGUUUAUUUGUUAACCAUGAAAUCUGAGUGAAAAUAUCAUUAGUAAGUUCAAUGUUACGUUAUGAACAGGCACACAUAAAAUUCUAUUAUCCAAAGAAUUACAAAUUUUAUAAUCAAAAUAAAAAAUUGCAAGCAAAAAUUUAGAGUUUAGCAAAUAAUAAAUACACAAAUUGAUAACUAAAAUAUUUAUAAAAAAUUUUGGUGAAUCAUACCUAAAAGAGAAGGAAAGCAAGUGAAAGGGAGAGAGAGAGAGAAACGUGAAGAGAGGGAGAGAUAACGUGAAAAGAGAGAGGAAAUAAUGAAGUGAGAGAGUUAGGAAUUAUGUUUUAAAAAGAAUCUAAAUGCUAUUUAGACUUUUUUUCGUAUCUGAUCCAUUCAGAUGUUUUCAAAUACAUUAAGAGACUUUUUUAAAAAACUAAACAAAUGCAUUUAAUGGGCUGAAGUUUGAACCAUUCAGAUUCAGACCUUCCAUUAAAUGCAAACAAAUAAGGCCUUAAACAUUUAUAGAUUAUGCAAACCAAUUUUUUUUUAAAAAACUAUUAAUCAUUAAUUACAAAUAGAAAAACUAUAUUUAAGAAAUCUAAUACUGCCUUUCAUUUAUGUCGAUGUUGUUCAGCUUUAGCCUUUAUGUAAUUAUCGAUUUUCUUGAUUCUACCUUUUAUUUAUCUAUUGCAUUUCAUUUAUAAUUCUACCUCUUUCUUUUAUUUAUUUAAUUUUAGUGAGGAUAUAUUUAUUUAUGAUUUUAAAAAUUUAACAUGAAAAAAGGACACAUUCUAAAAUGAUGGGCGUGUAGAUCAUGCAUGAUAAAUCGAUAAAAUUUCAUGUUGUAUUCAAUUUAGUUAUUAUAUUUGAUAACUCUCAAACACUAUUAAAUUGUCAUGAUUUUACAUUUCCACUCCUAGAACCCCUUGUCUAAAUUGAUUCAAUUUUUCUUUCAUGUAUCUUUCUUUAUUUAUUCCAUCUUCCUCAUGACAUUUUUUUUCUUUAUUUAUAUAGUUUUACUUAAGAUAUUAGUCUCUUGUGAUUACACACACACAAAAAAAAAAAAAGAAAAAAAGACAGUGAUAUGCAAUUCACGACAAGUUGAUAGAAUAUUAUAUUACAUUCAAUAUAUCUGUUUUGAUAGAUGAUUACCAAUCACAUUAAUUGUCAUAAGUGGGUUUUUAUUAUAAGGGUACAUAAUUAUCUUGAUAUUCAAAUGUAUCUGUUUAUAAAAACAUAUAUAAAAAGGAAAUAAAUGAAUAUCAAUCUUUUUUUUUUUCAAAAAUAAAAAAAAUAAAGGUAAGGAAACUAAGGAGAGAGAAUUACAAAAAGAGAAUAUUUUAUAUUUUUUUAUUUCUCAAUCGUUAUCUGACACUUGUACAUAGGUUCGUCUAAAUUUGAAUUCGCAUAAAAUAAAUUCAUAUUGGUUAUUGAAGCGCUCCUAACAAAAAGGACUCGUGUUCAAGAAAAUAUAAAAUUCGAAACCUCUAAUUCAGAAUGUGUUAGAAUUUUUACACUAAUUUUCUUACCGAGACUGGGUUUUAAUAUUCUAUUGAAGAAAGUCAAAGUAUUACAAUAAUUGAUUUUUACUUUUUCUGGAAAAAAAAUAUAAUUCUGUUUUAGAUUUGGCUAACCUUCGUACCUCUAUAAAUUGAGGAUCCGUCUUUUUAUUUCAUAACUCAAUAUAGUCAUUAUAGAGUCAAGUUUAGGGAGAGAUUUUCUCUCGAUAAUUUCAUGAUUUUUUUAAUAUUAAUUUUCAUAUGUAGGUCAAUUGACUAAAUCACAUCAAAUAAUAUAAUUUAAUAUAUUUUUUCUUUAUCAUCUUAUAAUUAGUAAAUUAUUAACUUCUACAUGACAUCAUAUCUCUAUUUCGAACCCAAUAAAAAAUACUUACUAAUCUAUGACAAUUUUCUAUGUGACUGCUGUAAAUUGGAACAGAAAAUGGUCCCAACUUUCAUGACUGCUGCUGUUUCCUUUGUUGUUUCCAUGGAUGUUGUUGUUUGUAUAGUAUAAAACUAUAUAAUAUUGUUUAACGUUUGUGUUGAUCCUCCAAAUUGUUUUUUCUCGUUUAAAGUAUAUCUGUGUCGGUCCUCCAAUUGUUUAACGGCCCAAAAUUGAAAAAUCAAAAUUAUUAAAGUGAAAUAAAAUCAAAUCGAAAAUUAUAUAAAUCGAAUCGAACAUAAUCGAACAAAUUCGAUUCGAUUUUCGAUUCAUAUAAUUUCAAAAUCAAAAACUGAAAAAAUCAAAAUAAAAAUAUUAAACUCAAAUUAAAAUAUCGAACGUCCAUCCCUAAUUACGACCCUUAGAAAGUCCAGAUAACUAACUCGAACACUCGGAGCAAUUUUUUCGAGAAGAAAAUGGGUGGCUGAGAUUGAGUGUUUAGAAUGGGCUUGUGCUGGUAGAUAUUUGCCACGUGGAAGAUUACAAGCCAACAAUGACAUGGUGACACGUGGAGAUUUCUCAAAAAGGGAGAAGUCAUAGAGGAAGUGGCUGCUGCUUUACGUGCCAUUUUAGUACGUGCAGGACACGCUCCCAAAAUAUGCUCCAAAUUGCAAUGAAAUGAAUGCAUGAUGAACAAUACUUCGUACUUCUUGUUAAAAGAAAAGACAAAUUCAUCGAUAACCCUUGAACUUAACACAAUUUUUCAUUUUAAUAUUUUAAUUAGAUGUUUAUUUUUGACACUUUAUGAGUGUGUCAUUUUGACAUCUUUUACUGAUUCAGUAAAGAGAAUGUAUUACACUUGUUUUUUGAUGCGUUUCAGGGGUAUUUUUAUUUUUAUAAUUUUUGAGGAAUAUUUUUAUAAUUUUUUUAUCUUUUAAAUUUUUUAAAAAUUAUUAAAAAUCUUUAUUGUUAAAUCAGCAACAAUUGGUCCAAUGAAUUAAUGACACGUAUUUUAUUAACCAAAUAAUUACAAAAAAGUUCCUCACAUUGUUUUUUCCACACAACCUUUUUUUAGCUCCUCCAUUAAUGGAGGUGAAAUCAACACUCAAAAUGAAUUUCACUCCAUUAACACACCUACAACAACAAUACACACCAUGAACACCAAAUAAUACUCCUUCCAUUAAUCAACGGAACACGCCCUCUAAUCCCAAUUCUAAACAUAAACACACUAACAACAACCCAAUGACAAUUAACAAAUACUCCUCUACAAGAACAACUCCACAAAUUCAUCACCUCCAUAUUUACACCUUCAAUUCUCACUAUCAGUUUCUUCUCCAUGAACAAGUCAACAACACCUAGCAACAAAAAUAAAAUUCUCCUCUCCCACUCAUGACAUCAUUAAGAUCCCCCGCCCCCCAAAAAAAUGUCAACACUUAAAAAACAGAAUAGGCCAAACACAUCAAGUAUUUAUUUUUAACUUUUCAAGCUUUUUAUAUGUUUUGAGUUUGAAAAAAAAAUUCAAGAAUGAUGGUGAUUAAAAGAAUGUGUUGAAGAAACAAUUUUGUUUAGGGGAGGGGAGGGGGUGUUGGAGAAGACGACAUUUAGGGGAGGGAGAGUAGAGCGGGGCUGUUUGGAUUUUGGGGCGGGGGGGGGGGGGAUCAGCAUGNNNNNNNNNNNNNNNNNNNNNNNNNNNNNNNNNNNNGGGGGAUCGGGGAGAGGGGGGAGACAAUUUAGGGGUGGGGUGGGAAGUGGAGAAGAUGAUGGGGGUGGUGGAAAUAUUAAUUUAAUUUGAUUUAAAUUAAAUUAAUUAUUUAAUUUAUAUUUUUUAAUUUAAAUUAAUUAUUUUAAUAAAAAUGCCAAUUGUCCUAUUAUUAUUGAUCGUUUCACACAUUAGCACGUGUGUACUACACACAUCACAUAUUUUUCAGAUUGUUUAAAAAAGUCUCAAAAUAACAUACUUUAUGGCCACUUGGGCUGUCAAAAAUGAACAACGACCACUUGAGGUGCCAAAGUAAAAGAUCGUACCAAGUUUAGUGGGUUGUCGAUGAGUUUGGCCUAAAAGAAGAUAUUGAUAGAGGUCAUCAAUAUUUUCUGAUUUUAUCAAAAAAAAGAAAAAAGGAUUGGACAUUGAAAAGACAUCAGACCCCUCCGAACUUGUCACCAAAAAUUACGUUAGACCCUAAACUAAUCAGACAAUUAUUCACCUCCUUAAUAACUUUCAAGUGAAUUAAUUUCACCCUCUACGGCUGACGUGACAAAAAAAAAUGAGUAAAUUUUUUUUUUUAAAGGGUCCACUUUGUUAUUAUUAUUAAACAUAUAAAUAUAUAUAAAGAACCAACUUCAUCUUUAUAAAAUUAAAAAAAAAUCAAGAACCAACUUCAUCUUCUUCUUCUUACCCGCCCCUUCCCAUCACCCCUCCCCACCCCAACUUUUUCUUCAUCUUCUUCAUCACCUCGUACCCCACCACCCGUUUCUCCAUUACUUCAAUUCCCUUACUUUAUCUCCAUUACUUCAAUGUUUCUCAACUCCGUAUCACCAUUUUUGAUUUUUAUAUUUGUUAAAAAAAAUGAAAAAUUGCAGCUAUAUUAAUUUUCAUUAACCGAAAAUUCGAUUGGUAUUUUUCUAUAUCGAAUAAGGUCAUCGCCAAUUGCUUAUUAAUUUUUCUCAAUUAUCACGUCUUGUGCUUAUUGGAAAUUCAUCAAAUUUGAUGAAGAAUUCAAUUGAAGAAUUCUGAUGAAGAAUUCGAUGUCGUAUAAUUAAAGAAUUCAAUCUCACUAAAUACGAUGAAUUCAAUUUUGUCAUCUUAAGUUGGAGAAUUCUGUUGUUGAAAUGAAGUUGAUGCCAUUGUUGAUGUUCAUCGGGGCAUUUUGUUGAAUAGGGGCUGGGUUGAAUUCGGAUUUUGUUGAGGCAUUUUGUCGAAUAAGUGGUGGUUCUGAACAUUUUGUUCAUAUUUGACUCUAAUGGUGGAUUAUUUCAAGUGUAGGGAUUGAAGAAGAAAUAUGUUUGGGGUUGGGUGAGUGGGUGGGGGCGGUGGAAGAGGAGUAGGAGGGGGGCUGCAUUUGUAUUUAUAUAUAUAUAAAUAAUGCAUGGGGAAUUGAUUUUUUUUUUAGAAAAAUAGUAAUUUCUUACAUGGUAAUGACGUGGCUCUGACUUGACAUUGAAGUGGCGUUGAUGUGGGCGAGUGUAACACACUCUCCAUUGUGAAGGUGAUAUUCAGUUUUGAGGGGUGAAAACAAUAUAUUUUAAAGAUGUUAAGGGGGUAAAUAAACAGAAGUUUAGUUUAAAGGCUAAAGUAAGUUGAUCGGACAAGUUGAAGAUUUUUUUUUUAUGACUUUUCUCUUGGACAUUUAUGUACUAAUUUAUCAGUUAAUACAGAUAGUUGAUAUGUGUAUUCAUCUAUUUAUUACAAUUAUAAUUUUCGUUUUAGUCUUAUUAAAAAAAAUGAGAUUUUCCUAUGUUUAGUAAUAAUUUAAUUGCGAACUACUCAUUUUAUUCUUUAUAAAAUAAUUUAUAGCCAUUUAAGUAUUUAUAUAUUUAGAUCAUAAACUUAAAAUUCUUUAAUUUAAUCUUAAACAUGAUGAUAAAUUAAAUACUUUCACAUAAAUAGAAACUAGGAGAAUAAUCGAAAUACCACUAGUCAAUCCUAUAAAAUAAUAGAAAGCCUCAUCAACAAUUUAAAUCAAAGAUUUUCCUGUCAAAAGGCUUCACGCACUAGAGAUUAAACAAAACUACGAUAAGUAUUAGCAUGCCUACUUAUAUAACUAUAGGCUCAGGGCGGCUCAAGCAUAUAAGUGAUCUAAGACGAAAAUCAAACAAAGGACUUAAAUUUUUAAGAAAAAAUGACUUUGUUUUAAUAAACUUAAUUUUCAAAAUUAUAUAAUCGAUUUUUUCUAAUUAUCUUUUUUAUUUUAAAAUUAUAUAAUCGAUUUUUUUAAUUAUUCCUUUUUAAGUAAUAAUAUAAUCUAUGCAUUUAAUCUUUCUUGAGACAUAAUACUCUAAAUAUAUGAAUUUCUUCUAAUAAUUCUUUCCUUUUAUAAAAAAAUUAUUUUUCUAUAAAUAAUAUUUAUUUAUUUUUUUUAAAAAAUCUAUAAUAUAUUAUCAUAAAAAAUAAGGUACUUCAAAUUUGAAGGCUUAAGACGGCCGUCUAUUUUUUUUUUUAAGAGGUAGAGCCGCUCCUGUUAAUAGGCUAUAUAUAAUUCAUAUAAUGUCUAAGAUGUCAGAUAUCCUCACAAAUCAUAACCAUAUUUUAAGAAAAACUAUUUUCCUCUUCAGCAUGAAAGUUAUUGUUGAUGACUGACUCGACAAAUCUUAGUAACUGUAUCAUUAAUUAGGAAUAAAAUUGAUUGGCAAGUACAAUAGAAUUUUUUAUUUCCAAAUAUUUGAACUAAUUUAAACUCACUAUUUUCAACAACUCUUCACUAAGCAUUGGAACCUCGACUAAUGCAGAUCGUGCGUUGUAGGACUCAUUAAGGUGACAACGCUCCCAACAGAGUUUUCUUCAUAUCUAGGAUCGAACCCUCGACCUCUGGUUAAGGAUGGAACACCCCCAUCCACUGCAACACAACCCAUGUUGGUAUUGAGCUAUUCAGUGGUCAAUAAUUAACUCUUCAACUUACGUUCAAGGAUUGGAAGUGAAUUAAAACUUCCACAUUUCACCUACUUUAUUUUCUAUACUUCACUUCAAAUCCAAUUACGACUAUUUUACCUUAAUUUCUGUCUUGCUAUUUUUUUAUGCCAGCAGCUUCAUAAUUCCCAAUCAAAUAGAACUGACGUAUUAAAUACAAUUCACACAAUAUAGAAGGCUCUCUCUCUCUAUAUAUCAAUAUAUAAUUACUGAAUUUUUUAUUUGGAUGAAUGAUUUAUGUUUAAAAUAACUUGAUCUACUUAAGUAGGUUUGAAUUUAUGAUUUCAUUUCAUGAUUUUAAAUCAUGAGAUGAAAUUUCAAAUUCGCUAAGAAACUUGAUUAUAAAAGUUGAUCAACAAAUUUAUAUUUUGUAAAAAAAAACCAUCAUUUAUAUUUAUCAUUUACUUUAUAUGAACAAAAUUUAUAGUGAUUGAUAUUAUUACUCUUAUCAAUUUUUAAAUCAUUUUUAUCAAAUACAAUCAUUAUUCUCACCAACCUUUAACCAAUCAAAUUAAUUAUUACUUCAAAUUGAGAAGAUUGCCUGUAUUCUGUUGGAGAUUAUUUCAAAGAGUACUAGUACGUUAUAAUUCAUGUUCAGUUUUACUUUUUUUAUUGAAUUAAAUUUCGAUCAAUAAAUAUUAUAUUUUCUUAGAAUAGUUUUAUGAUGUUGUAUGAACUUUUACCUAUUUAGUAAGAUUAGUAUAAAAAAUUAGGACAAUUUUAAUAGUUUUCACAACUUAACUAUGAAAUUUUUAUCUUUAUGAAAAAACCUAUAUAACUUAAAAAAUUAUAGUACUAGUAAUACACACCAAACACCACAAUACUUAUAUUUAAAGCUAAAAAAUAUAUUAAAUAAGAUACAAGUAAUACAUAAGAUUAAAACAAAAAAUAGGUAAGGUUAACAAAUGCAUUAUUUUUUUAACACUCUCUCUGAAAUAACCCCUUACUGAUUUAUUUCUAUUUAAGUAUUACAAAUACUGAUUUUUAGAGCAUAGGAAAUGACGGUAUGAUUCCAUUUGUAAAUUUUGGACAUAUUUGUUGCAUGACUAGAAAGAUUAUCAUCAAAAGAUGUAGUGCAGUGAAUGAGACCCUUAAUUAGAGGUCUCAAAUUUGAAUUUUGGGUAUGAAAAUAUUCAUGAUAGGGAGCGCUAUCCCGAUUGAGAUCUUAUCCAAUGCGAAUUUAAAUUAAUCAGACUUCAAUAUAAGUAUCAAAUAUCGGAUGAAAAAAAAAAAAAAAAAGAAAGACCAGAAGGAUUAAUUAGACUGUACGUGCCAGAUGAAGGUGUAGGCUAUUGUUUGUCAUGAUUCAUUUUCAUUUUCAUAUCAAACUACACUUGUACGUUGUAAGUCUGUGUUAUGGAAGAAUUAGGAGGUUGUUUGGAUUGACUUGUUUUAGCGUUUUAAGUUAAAAUUAUUUUUACAUAAUUUUGUACUAUGUAACUAAAAGAAAAAUAUAUUUUUAAGUUGAAAUAAUUAAAAUAAAUUAAAUAUCAUAAGUUAGAAAUUCUAACUUAUGCUUAUAAUAUAUGACAUAAGUUAUAAAGUCAUCCAAAACAGGCUCUACACGUAGGCGUCCAUUUGUAAUUCAUAGCUCCUAACAGGAGUAAAGGUGUGUUUGUUGUGAAGAAAAGUGCUGUUUCCUUGAAAAAUAAGCAUGGUUUUUAUUUAUUUUUUAAUAUUUAAUUAGUACGAAAAAAUAUUAACCCCAAAUCGUAAUUUAUAAUAUAAAAAAAUACUAUAAAGAUGGGUUCGUGGGGAGUGAGGGUUCGGUUGGUGGAAUUGGGAUGAUUAAUGGCUGAGGGUUGAGAACGUCCGGACACUCGGAGGAGACAAUAUACUUUGAAUGUCAUUUAUGUAAUUUAUUUUUCAUAUUUUUAUUAAAGAAUUAUAAAUAACUUAUUUUCUUAAAACCCUCUUGCUCUCUUCUUCAUUUUUUUGGUGUUUGUCAAGAACUCUCAAAUUCAGAAAAUCGAAUCUAGAUUGAGAAAAAGAAAACUAGAAAGCCUUUUUCAGAACAAAUGUUUUUUCUAUACCAAAAACACAUCCUAUUCUGACUAGCUAGUACUUUUGUUUAUGAUGGGCACAUAUAUUUCUUUCAUUACUAUUCAUCAUUAUAUAAUAACUCCCACCUCUAUAAUCUCCUUUAAUUUACCUUUAUAUAUAAUCUUAAUGGCUAAUAUUAUGAGUAUCGAGUUAGAUAACUUUUUCAAAAGAACCAAAAUAAUCUUUGUACUCUAAUUCUUUUUUUCUGCAUCUCUUAUUUGUAUUGCUCUUAAAAAUAUAUACUAGUAAUACAGCACUAUAUAUAUAUAUAUAUAUAUAUAUAUAUCGUAGUCAUUCUUAAAAUUCGUGGACGAAGGCAACUCCUAGUUCAUCAUCACAGUUUGUUGCCUAUAUGCACUGAGGAGUUUCCAAAACUCUCAUAUAUAUAUAUAUAUAUAUCUUGUAAAUGUUACUGAUGAGUCUCCAAAACUCAUAUCUAUAUCUCCUGUGAAUGUCAGACUUAUCCCGAAUGUUUCUGUUGCGUAGCAUAGGAUUUCACAGAAAAAAACGAGAGUACAGGAGGAUAGGAUUUCACAGAAAAAGAUAACGGAGUAUAGGAAUAUAGGAUUUCACACAAAAAGACAAAAGGCGGAGUAUAGGAAUAUAGAAUUUCAUAGAAAAAGACGGUGGAGUAUAGAAUUUCACAGAAAAAGGCGAUUACGCUAAUUCAGAUCUUUUAUUUUUAUGUUGAUCUUUCGGAACUUGUGCUAUAGAUCUUUCGGAACUUGUACUCACUAUAGCGAUAAAGGUUUUAGCGAUAUCGAAAUAUGCACAUUAAUAAAAAGUGUUAAAUUUUUUAUCGAUGUUAGUUAAUUGUUAUUGGCUUCAAUAUCGCUAUAGAUUUUAGGUGCAUUUAUAAAGAAUGCUAAAAUAUAAUUGUCACUAAUAAUUAUUUCUAAAAAUAUAAUUUAGCAUCACUUAAGUUAUCGUAUUUUUAACUAAUUGCCGCUAAAUACUCCUUUCAUUCCUAAUUAUUUGUAGUUCUUAUUAAAUAUAGAUGCUUCUUAAUACUUGUCAUUCUACAAAAUCAAUGUAUAAUUAGUUGUUUGUUUUUAUUUUUAUCCUUAAUAGUAAUAAAUAUAAAAAGAUAUUAAUUUAAUACAUUAAAUAAAGUUGAAUGAUAAAUAAAAAUAAUUUAAUUAAAUUAUUUUUUAAUUAAUAUUUUUUAAGAGACGUGAAACUUAAAAAGAGACAAGUAAAUGAUAAGUAAAAUGAAAACGGAAAGGAGACCAUGUGUCUUCGUGAAACUAAGUGCAUGCCUAUUAGAUGCUUUAAAUUCACUAAUAUCUACACUACUAAAGUUCAUUUCAAGUUUCAUUCAAUUAAUUUUGUCCUAUUUACACUAAUCACCGAAGUCACUCUGUGAUUUCAUUUCACUUGUUAAUUUACUCUCAUCCAUUGUUAGCUUUCUCCCAUCAGUUUGUUUUCGAUUAGUGAUUCAUAUAUCUCUCGUAAAUGGCAGAUUUAUUCCAUAUGUCUAUGUUAUAAAGUAUAGAAUUUUAUCGAAAAAGAUAGCAAAGUAUAAAAUUACACAAAACAAGCAUCUACGCUGAUUCAAAACUUUUAUUUUUAAUGUUCAUAUAUCUCUUGUGAAUAUCAGAUUCAUCCCGAAUGUUUCUGUUGAUUUCACAAGAAAAGACAGUGGAGCAUAGGAUUUCACAGAAAAAGGCAGCUACGCUGAUUUAGAUCUUUUAUUUUUAUUUUCAGAUUCAUCCCAAAUGUCUCUGUUCAGAUUUAUCCGAAUGUCUCUGUUGCGGAGGAUAGAAUUCUCACAUAAUGUCAGACUCAUUCCAGAGGAUAGAAUUCUCACACGUAAUGUCAGACUCAUUACGGAGGAUAGAAUUCUCACAUGUAAUGUCAGACUCAUUCCGAUUGUUAGACUCAUUCCGAAUAUCUCUGUGUGGCGGAGGAUAGAAUUUUCAUAAAUAAAAAGCGGCGGGUGGAGGAUAGAAUUUUCACAUAUAAAAGGCGGGUGACGUACUGCAUCUGUUUUGAUGGGAGUAUAAAAUACAAAAAAUAUACAUACAUUUUUAGAUUUUUUUUAUACAGUAUUCGAUAUUCGUAUUAGAAUAUGCACCUAUAUUAAAAUUUAGAUUCAUUCAAAUCACACAUUAUAGAAUUCAUUCUGGAGCUACGCUCUCAAUAAAAAAAUAAAGAUGGAAUAAUCUCAUUCAUGAGUAUCUCAACAAAUUUAUGGCCUAAAGUCAAACACCUUAAAUACAUAGACACAAAUACAAACAAAAAAUAAAAAUAGUAUUAAUAUAAUCUAAAGUUAUCCCAUUUUUCUUGUAUGUUAAUUAUUUUUUGAUGUAGUAUUUUUAAAGGAGGCAUAGCUUUUAAUUUUAAGAUACUACCCUCAUCAUAGGCCUAUCAUAUAAGAUACCGUGACCUCAUACGCAUUACUCAACCAAAGAAAUGCUAAAAAGACAAGUGCUACCAUUUCUCCUUCCAUUGUAAAUUCUGCCAUCAAAAUCAAGAGUUAAUUUCUGACACAACAUUUUGAGCAGACAUUACAUUUUCGAGUCUAUUAUUACUGGCGGAGUUAGAAAUUUAAAUAACAGAAUUCAAAAAUAAUACUUAUAAUAAUCUCAGAGAAUUCAACAAUUUAUAUAACAUAUUUGCCUAAGUAGAACAUAUACCGUCUAGUUGACGCAACGAAUAUUUACAUAAUCAAGUAAUGUAACAACAACAUAAUGUAACAAGAUUUCUCUACAAACUAUGGAAUAUCUCUGUUGCGGAGAAUAGGAUUUUCACAAGUAAAAGGUUGCGUACGUAAAGCUGCAUCUAUUAUAUAUCUGUUGUGCAAUAGACGGAGAUUCAGAUCUUUCAUUUUUAACGUGAGACUCAUCCCUAAUAUCUCUAUUGCAGUUUUUAAUGUCAAAUUCAUCCUGAAUAUCUCUGUUCUUUGUUGCAGAGGAUAAGAUUUUGUUCUCUAUUGAAAUUUUCUUUUUAAUGUCAUGUUCAUCCUGAAUGUUUGUCAGAUUCAUCUUGAAUGUGUCUAUUCUCCGUUGUAGAGGAUAGGAUUUUGUUCUCUGUUACAGAGGAUAAGAUUUCCACAAGUAAAAAUCGGCGUACGUAAAGCGUAAGCACAUCUAUUUUGAUUGUUGCGUAGAAUAUCUGUUUUGAUUGUUGCGUAGGAUAUGAUUUUCACACGUAAAAGAUGGCGUACGUAAAACGUAAGCUACAUCUAUUUUGAUUACAAUUGGUGUAUAAAAUACAAAAAAAAUAUACAUACAUUUUUUGAUUCUUUCUGUUUUUUUUUUUAUGUGGUGUUCGAUAUUCGUAUUAGAAUCUCUAUCUAUAUCAAAGUGUAGAUUAAUUCGAAUCACACAUUAUAAAAUUCAUUAUGGAGUUUACGCUCCCAAUUAAAAAAAAUCAUACUCAAAAUUCUUGAUAUUUCCUAUGCCCCAGAUGUGUCGAAAUUACUGUUUCAUUUUUAAUAGCAACAGAAAAAUUCCACCAAGGACAUUCAUCAGUAGAUUCAUCAUAGGCCAUCAUACAAGAUAUCGUGGCCUCAUACGCAUUACUCAAGCAAAGAAAUGCAUGCUUCAAAGACAAGUGCUGCCAUUUCUCCUUCCAUUGUAAAUUCUGACAUCAAAAUCAUUUAUGACACAAGAUUUUUUUGAGUCUAUUACCGAUGGCGGAGUCGGAAAUUCAAAUAGCGGAAUCCAAAAUAAGUACUAAUAAUAAUCUCAUGCUAAGGAUUCAACAACUUAUAUAUAUAUAUAUAUGCAAAUAAAAAACAUGUUUGCCUAAGUAGAACAUAUAUAUACCGUCUAGUUGACUCAACGAAUAUUUACAGAAUCAAGUAGCAAUAACAUGACUAUGGAAUGUCUUUGUUGCGGACGAUAAGAUUUUCACAGGUAAAAGGCGGCGUAUGUAAAGCGUAACCUACUUCUAUUUUGAUCAAUUUGUUGCCUAUAUCCUGUAUCCACUGAUAAGUCUCCAAAACUCAUAUAUAUCUCUUGUGAAUGUCAUUCUCAUCCCGAAUGUAUCUGUUGCUGCAGAGUAUAGGAUUUCACAGAAAAAGACGGCGGAGUAUAGGAGUAUUGGAUUUCACAGAAAAAGAUAAAAGCGGUGGAGUAUAAGAGUAUAGGAUUUAGUAUAGGAUUUCAGAGAAAAAGGCAGUUACGCUGAUUCAGGUCUUUUGUUUUUAUGUUGAUCUUUUGGAACUUGUACUCACUAUAGGAUAAAGGUUUUAGCGAUAUCGAAAUAUGCACGUUAAUAAAAAGUGUUAAAAUUUUUAUCGAUGUUAGUUAAUUGUAAUUGGUUUCAAUAUCGCUAUAUGGUGACCAGAUCAAAACCCUUCCUCUAUAUGGUGAUCAAUUAAAGCUUCAGCUUAUUCUGUCAGAUUUCUCGCUUACUGUAGUUCAUCAUGCACCUUCUCUGGAUGGUUGAGUGGAAAUCAAGGUGCUACCUGGUUUAAGACUUACACAAGAUGGAAAGGAAUUAAUUCAUCUGCAGUUCAGGUAACUGGAGUGCUAUUUGUCUAUUGCUGGUUUUUCACAUAAGAACAUGAGCCUACUCAUUUUAUCUGGUGUCUGUCCUUUCCUGCAACGUAUAGCACCUAACUAGUUAAAGUACUUCACGGGGUUUAAUCUAAUCAGCAGAAAUAUAACGGUGCUUUAAUCACUUGUCUGAUUUAGUUUUCUGUUAUCAACACUCACUUUUAAUCUUUUAAAUCAGUUUUCUUUUGUAACUAAAACUUCUUGUGUAACCUUAGAAAAACGAUAUGUAUGUAUUGUCAUGACUUCUAUUGAUAAAUGUCCAUGUAAAAUUAAACAAACUUUAUUUUAUAGAAUGGCUCACCCUGGCCAAGGAGUACCUGCUGCUCUAAUUGAUGUCAUGUCAGGAGAAAGAAAUCGAUGGACAACAGAAGAAGGAAUCGCGUUGAAUAUUUCCCAGAAGCUUCUCAAUAUUAUGAAUGGAAGGCAUUUAAACUUAGAACUGGCCGAAAGAGAUGCAGAAAACAUUUUUCAUCUUGACCCAAAUUGUAGUGCUGCUUAUGUUUUAUUAUCCAACAUUUCUGCCUUUUCUGGUAGAUGGAGUGAUGUUGCAAGAGUUAAGAGGAAAUAUGAAAAGAAGAGGAAACGUAAAACAACCAGGAUGCCGCUGGGUUAAUCAGAAGGGAAUCCGGCACACAUUUAUUUCUGGUGAUACUUCACAUCCUCUAAGUGAUAGGAUAUAUGAAAAGCUGGAAUGGUUGACGGAAAAGUUGAAGGAAUAUGGUUAUGUCCCUGAUCAAAGAUAUGACGUAGACGAUGAACAGAAGGAAGUUGUGCUGUCAUAUCAUAGUGAGAGACUUGCUAUUUGCUUUGCAUUAAUUACAACACAUGGUAGUGCUAUAACAGUGAUGAAGAACCUCCGUGUCUGCGGUGACUGCCAUUCUGCCAUCAAGCUCAUAGCAAAAAUGAUUGAUCGUAAAAUUAUUGUAAGAGAUUCAAGCCGCUUUCAUCACUUCAGAUUAUUGGUAGGAUUAUCCUUUUGACUAUCAUUGUGGGAAUGGAUAGUGGAGCCUUGUGAUUAGUUCACCAGAAGCAGGAACACAUUCAAAUUUUAGGGAAUGCCAGAGUUCAGAUUGGACCAACAAUCUGUGAAAUGUUUUUCACUGAUAAAGUGGGGGUCCUCUUGAUAAUGUUACCAAUGAAGAAAUCAGAGCAUUGGCAUCCGCUGCUUCAAAUGUGUCUAGAAGCUGAUCUUGAAGCCAUGUCUAAAAUGUUUCCGAUACUGUACUAUGAUUAACCAAAUAUAGCUGAAGUCAAGGCAACCGCUGCACAUUAAUAAAUCUAGAGGUAUAAUUAGUUAUCAUUCCACAAAAUAUUCUGGUUACUUGAGAUUUAGUGUUGUAGAUAGUAGACUUUGUUCCUUGAGAUUUAGUGCGUUGGGUUCAUAGUAUAUGAAAGAAGUGUGAAUGAAAAAAUGGAGAGUAAAAUAGUGGAUGGAAAGAGACACUAAAAUGAAAAGUGUACUUCCAAAUUAGAAAGAUUACUCUUUCUCCCACAAUGGUGGAAGAAGAGAACUUGGAAGUGUUUAUAAUCAAGAACACUUACUCCACAAGGUAAGUGAGGCAAGAAAUAAGAGAUGCCUCGCGUUGUCGUUGUCGCUUGCUCGGCUUUGGAUUUGGAUAAUGAUUGAUGAAGGAAAAAUUUUCUGAUACUCCAUUUAUAUAAUAUGCAUGCAGUAACAGUUGCAAUGUUUCAAACAAACCCUGAUGCUUCAGUUGCACUGUUUCAAGUGAACUGAUGCAUGCUUCAGAAGGAUGCAAUUCUUCAACGAAUUGCAAGUAACACACUGUUUCAUGAAAUUAGAUGAUGUUCAGGAAAAGAUGCACACUUUGAUGAACAGAUAUGAAUUUUCAGAAAGAGGUGCAACCUUUAAAGUGAACCAUGGCCUCUUUUCAGAAGAGGCAUGUUAUGGCUAUAUAAACCUGCUUUCAUUCACAGGUUUAGAGACGAAAUUUUUUUUCAGAAUAGGAACACUCUUCUUGAUUUAAAAAAUAUUCUGUGUGAUCACUCAAAACGUUCAAUGAGUUCGAAGAUAUUCCAAUUGUUUGAGGUACCGCUACAGUUGGUUUGUUUGACCAUUUUAUUCUGGGAAGAAAACUUUCACAACCUCGGGUAUAGUGAGGGGAAUUAUUUCUUUAAGGAAACUUCGUGAAUUCGGACGACUUGGCCAGUUCUGCUUUAUCUUUAUUUCUGAAAAUAAAAUGCACCUCUUAUAAAGAUCACUUUGAUCUUGGGUUGGGGGUAUUUUUUGUACUUCAUUGUGUUCUUGUUCUUAAACUUGAACUACUUGAAGUGGUUGUUUCUAGUAUACAGAUUCUUGUACCCGUAGAAGGAAGAAUAACAUAGUGUUGGUGAUCGUGUUUUCAUUUGAGUUUUCCCAUGAAAGGUAUGCUGAGAUUUGGGAAGAGGGAAAACUUAGUCCUAGUUAUAUUGGACCAUUUGAUUUCUUCGAACUAUUGGUGAUGUGGCUUAUAAGUUGGAUGUGCCCCCAGCUUUAUCAGCUGUUUAUCCAGCUUUUCUUGUUUCCAUGCCUCAUCGUUACAUUCUGAAUGAGUCUCAUGUCAUUUUUUGGAAUUCAGUUCAGUUAGAUGAGAUGUUGUGUUUUAUUGAGGAGCCUAUCUUCGUCUUGGCUAAAGAUGUCAGGCGGUUGCUUUCUAGAGUUAUUUUAGUGGUUAAGGUCUAGUUGAAACAUCGAUCUGCAAAUGAGGCUACUUGGGAGGUCAAGUUUAUCUAUCCCUAGCUUUUUGAUGAUUCUGGUAUUUUUCAUUGCCUUUAGUUCAAGGAUGAACUAGAUUUUUAGUGGUGGAUGAUGUAACGACCUGAAUUUCGAUGAUUUAUGUGAAAUAUUUAUUUUUGUGUGAUUUGACCAUUUUACCCCUCUCUAUGGUUGCGUUGUGGUAUUUCUGGGAUGUGGGGAUGCUUGACACAAUUCCCAAUGCAUUUCAGUGUUACAUAAAUGAAAUUAUGGACUUUGGUGGCUUGAAAAGUCUUAUAGUUGACGUCGGUCAAUAUUUAUUGAUCUUUGCGUCGGAUGGCAAAACGGACUGCUCCAGUAAAUUUGAAACGUCAAGUUUAGGUUUUUAGCGUGGUUGGUUUGGUUUAAUGGCUUUUUUUAUAUCAUUUCGAUCGUCGGUUCAGAAAGUUGUGAAAUUGAAUUUCGGGGGUUAACUUUGUGAAAACGAUGUUCUUUUAAAAAUUUGAUAUCGCCAUUGAGUCCGGAGUAUCGAAUUUGAUAUGAUAGCAUAGAUUAUUUGAGUUCAUGAGGUUUUGAAUGAAUCUUAAGGGAUCCGCGGAAAUUUGGGACUUUCCAAGUAUCCAGCUGGUGCUGGUGCAACUGCACCCGCGAGUGGCUAGUUUGCCUUGACUUCAGCUAUAUUUGGUUAAUGUGCAGCGGUUGCCUAGACUUCAGCUAUAUUUGAUUAAUCAUAGUACAGUAUCAGAAACAUUUUAGACAUGGCUUCAAGACAACACUUAAUACCUGUCAUUCCACAAAAUUAAUGUAUAAUUAGUUGUUAGUUUUUACUUUUUACUCUUAGUAGUAAUAAAUAUGAAAAGAUAUUAAUAUAAUGCAUUAAAUAAAGUUGAAUGAUAAAUAAAAAUAAUUUAAUUAAAUUAUCUUUCGAUUAAUAUUUUUUAAGAGACGUAAAACUUAAAAAAAUGACAAGUAAAUGAAAACCGAAAGGAAACCAUGUGUCUUCGUGAAACUAAGUGCAUGCCUGUUAGAUGCUUUAAAUUCACUAAUAUCUACACUAAAGUUCCUUUCAAGUUUCAUUCAAUUAAUUUUGUCCUAUUUACCCUAAUCACCGAAGUCACUAUAUAAUUUCAUUUCACCUGUUAAAUUACUCUCAUCCAUUGCUAGCUUUCUCCUAUCAGGUUGUUUUCGAUUGGUGAUUCAUAUAUCUCUUGUGUUAAUUUACUCUUCCAUGGCUAGCUUUUCUCCUAUCAGGUUGUUUUCAAUUAUACUUGUGAAUGUCAGACUUAUUUCAUAUGUUUCUAUCGGUGAAAUAUAGAAUUUUACAGAAAAAGGCGACAGAGUACAGAAAUACGCAGAAUAAGAGUAUACUUUAUCUUUUAGUUUUUAAUGUUCAUAUAUAUCUCUUGUGAAUGUCAAAUCCAUUCAGAAUGUUUUCUAUUGUAGAGUAUAUAGAUACAGAUCUUUUUGUUUUUAAUGUUCAUAUAUAUCUCUUUUAAUGUCAUACCUAUCCCGAAUAUUUUCUGUUGCAGAGUAUAUAGAUUCAGAUCUUUUUGUUCCUAAUGUUCAUAUAUAUGUCAGAUUAAUUUCGAAUGUUUUUUGUUGCAGAGUAUAUAGAUCCAGAUCUUUUUAUUUUUAAUGUUCAUAUAUAUCAUACCCAUCCUGAAUGUUUUCUGUUGCAGAGUAUACUGUUGCAGAAUAUAUAGAUCCAGAUCAUUUUGUUCCUAAUGUUCAUAUAUAUGUCAGAUCCAUCCGAAUAUUUUCUGUUCAAGAGUAUAUAGAUUAGAUUUUUUUGUUUUUAAUGUUGAUAUGAUAAGGAAAAGGCGGUGGAAUAUAGGAUUUCACAUAAAGGCGGUGGAGUAUAGAAUUUCACAAAAAGACAGUGGAGUUUAGGAUUUCACAGAAAGGCAAUGGAAUAUAGGCGGUGGAAUAUAGGAUUUCACAGAAAAAACAGCUACACUAAUUCAGAUAUUUUGUUUUUAAAUUGAUUCAGAUCUUUUGUUUUUAAUGUGAAAAACAGAUACACUGAUUUAGAUAUUUUGUUUUUAAUGUUGAGGAUUUCACAGAUAAGAGGCGGCGUACAUAAAAUAAACACUGAUUCGGAUCUUUUAUUUUUUUUUAGAUUCAUCCAAAUAUCUCUGUUGGUGAGGAUAUGAUUCUCAGAUUCAUUUCAUUGUUGGACUCAUCCGAAUGUGAUAGAAUUUUCAGAUAAAAGGUGGCAGCGUACUAUGUCUGCUUUGAUGAGUAUAAAAUACAAAAAAAAAAUAUAUCUACAUUUUUUUUUUAUACGGUGUUUGAUAUUCGUAUUAGAAUAUCUAUUAAUAAAAGUAAAAAUUAACUCUAGUUAAUUAAAUGUUAGCAUUUGUCUAGUAUAUAUUAACUUGGAUAUUGUUGUUAAAAUAUUAUUUAUUAAUAUGAAGCUUGAGUUGCUUAAUUCAAAACUCUAAAAUAUUUUGAUAAAAAUUAAAGAGAAAAUAUCCUAUUUCACCCUUGAACUAUACCCAAAAUGGCUGAGACACACCUCAACUUAACUAGGGUCCUAUUACCCCUGAACUAAUUAAAAGUGUAAUUUUGACAUCCUUAGUGCCUACGUGGCACAUACGUGUACACACGUAUGCCUACAUGGACCCUUCAGUGUGUUGUGCCACGUAUGUGCCAUGUCGGCACUAAGGGUAUCAAAAUUACAUUUUUAAUUAGUUCAGGUAAUAGGACUCCUUUAAGUUGAGGUGUGUCUCAGCCGUUUUGGUUAUAGUUCAAGAGUGAAAUAGAACAUUUUCUCAAAAUUAAAUAGCUUUUUCCUUUUUUUUUUAGAUUAUUUUUUACAAUCUUCAUUCUUCAUUUUUACUUCAAGUGAAGUUGAAAUCAUAAAAUUUACUAUUAAAAUUUUUGGGGGCCAAAAGCAAACGCUUUAGUCAUACCCUUAGCCGCCUUUGAUCCCACAAUUAAUGACAAAAUCAGAAUUUUCAUUAAGGAGGUUCAAAAAUAAAUAUCCAACCUAACUAAAGCAUAUGCUCAACAUCUAUUAUAUAUGCAUAAAAAUUAAUUUUAAUCAUCUAUAGAUAAUAUAAUUUUUAUCGAAAAAAUCAAAUAAACCCCUAACCCAAGCGUGGCUCCCACCCUGUCAUCACUAUACUACAACUCAUAUUGAUACUUUCUUUGGUAUAUAUUUCUAUAUAUUAGAAGAGGGUUUCGACAUGUAUGUUUCAGCAGACUGCUUGCUCCGUGAUUUUACUAUAUCACUCCUAAUAAUAAUUAAUAAAAAAAAUAAAAUAAAUAUAAAAUAAUAAAUUAACUCUUGAUUUUUUAAAUUAAUUUGACGUCUUAUAUGAGGCUCACUUAAAUUGUUUUCACAAUUAUUUUUAUAGUAAUUUUGAUAUAUCACUUCUAAUUAAUUGUUGCACGUCAUUUAAGACAUGUUUGCUUUGCUGCUUCAAUCGUGAUUUUACUAUAUCAUUUUUAAUUAAUUAUUAUGACCAUCUAAAUAUUGUGCCACUUAAAUUGACAUUUGUGAUUUAUUACCUCACUUAUAAAGGAUAAUAAGCAGAUAGAAGAUGAACGUGUUUGUUUGUGCUGUCAGCUUAUAUAUUUCUUUUUAUAUUUGUUUAUUUUACUUUUUUUAAAUCUGUUUUAUAUUUGAAAAUUACGUAAAAGUAUUAUAAAUCACAAUAAUUAACAAUUUGAAAUAAUUAAAAAGACGUAAAAAAAAAAAUUGACUUUCUAAAUUUUAUUACUGCCACAUAAAUUGGAAUAGAAGAAAAAAUACUAUAAAUCACAAUAAUUAAUAAUUUAAAAUAUUUUAAAAAUUAGUUAACUAUCAAAAUUGUAUCAAUACCACACAAAGUUAAAUAGAGAGUGUAAUAUAUAUUAUUUAAAAAUUACGUAAAAAUUAUUAAAAUUCACAAUAAUUAAUCUAAAAAUAUUCUUCACAUUGGGUUCAUGCUAACACGGGUCAUAUCACCCCUAGUAUAUAUAGAGAGAGGUACCGUAGAUAUUUCUUACAUAUCUAAGGUAAUUAUGAACAUUAUAUUAAAUUCAUUUAAAUUAUACUUGAAAUCAAAAGCGUGUUUAGACUUUACGGGCCGAAGUCAUUUGAUUAGAAAAAAAUUAUUUUAAAACUAAUGAUUGUAUGUAAGAUAACUCAUUAUUUCAUGAUUAUAAUAUAAAUAGUAGGAUAAAUAAUCUCAUUAUUAACUAACACUUUCAACCGAAUACAAAAUAAUCCCGCAUAUUUAUACCUUUACCUUCCAAGACUCCGAAGAAUACUAGUUUGUAUGUGAUAUGAAGUCUGCGUAUAUUUUUACUAUACUAAUAACUAAUAUAUAUCGUCAACUUUCUUAUUGUAAUGGCGUUUUUUAUUCAUCUUACAUGCAGCGAUCGAUCGAGUCCAGUAACGGAUUCAGAAUUUAAGGAUUGUGAGUGAUUAAAAAAUUGAAAAAAAUUAAAAAAAUGACCUCAAUGAGGUUCAAACCCAAGUCACCCAUUUCAAUGAAUCACCUUAAGAUUAAUCUAAAUGUCAGUGCACAUUAAUCAACUUUUUUAUUUGAGUAGGUAUUUUUAUAUAAUUUAUAAAAUUAUUUUUAUAUAUUUUCUAUGUAAUUAUAGUUAUUCCGCAUGGAAUUGGAGGUGAAGUGAAUGUAAUGUCUUUUCCCAUAUUUACCAAAUGAUGAUUUGAUGUCCCCUUCUCCACCAUUUGUUUUUAAGGAAUCUUUUUUCAUGCACCAAAGUCCAAGCAUAUUAAAAGGCCCUACGUUCUCCUCACAAGUCACUCUUCUUUCCCUGCUUCUAUGGGGCACAUGCUAUGCUAUCUCCACUUUAAUACCCCUUGUGGUUCAUAAAAAUACAUCUAAAAAAACUCACCCAUUUACUAUUUUAGCUACUACGUGUAGUUAUUCUCACUUUCUAAUCCUGAUGUCUUUUACUUGAUUGUAUUCAUUUUUAUUUGUCAUUUUUUCUCAAUUUUUACGAAAAGAUAAGCAGAGUGAUUAGAAAGUAUAGUAAUAGGAUGAAAGCUAUUCAUGAUCACUGUGCAAAUAAGAAUGACAUUAUAAUUCAUGAAUUUAUUCUUUAACUUGAUCGUAAUCAAUAUGUAUGUCCUAUAAUUUAGAGCGUAUAUAAACACUUUAAGUCAUUAUAAAUUUGAAUAACAGCAUGCGCGUCUCAAAUGAAUUAUCAUACAAGAUAUGUGUGUAUUUGAUCAACUUUAUACUGUAUAAGUUUACAGGCAUCUUUGAUGCUAAUUAAGACGGUGAUUAGAAAGCAAUUAAGGCAGUGAUUAAGGAAAAAGAUAAGCAACAGUGCGUACUAGAAAAAAGGGAGAGAGAGGGAGGAAUCAGAAGAAUCAAGUAGAGUCAUGCUAGAAUUCGAGUUGCUCUAUGUACUGAAACUAUCUCUAAGAAGAAUAAACCAUUUUCAAGAACCCAAAAAAUGGAGUUGCAGAACAGUAAAACAAGAAAAGGAACAACACCCACAGGCCAGAAUAACAAAAACAACAAAGACACUUACGAAGAUUCCACCUUUUCUGCUUCCUCUGCUGCUAGUCACAUGAAACAUAAAGCCAACAAGGCUACCAUGGCUCAGUACAAUGCUGAUGCAAAGCUUAUGGCUGAAUUUGAAAAGUCUACUGUGUCUGGUGAGUCAUUUGACUAUUCAAAAUCAGUGCCUUAUGCACCAGAAGAUGCUAAUGAAGAAGAAAUCAUUGCUUAUCUUUCGAGAAUUCAAAGGGGUGGUCUCGUCCAGCCAUUUGGUUGUAUGGUUGCUAUCGAGGAACCCAGUUUCAAGAUUAUUGGUUAUAGUGAGAACUGCUUUGAUAUGUUGGGUUUAAAGAUUGUUGAGCCUGCUAAGUUGAAAGGUUUAAUUGGGGUUGAUGCUAGAACCCUUUUUACCCCUUCUUCUGGGGAUUCAUUGGCCAAAGUUAUGGCAUCUAGGGAACUUUCUUUGUUGAACCCUAUAUGGGUUCAUUCUAGGAGUAACCAUAAACCCUUUUAUGCUAUACUUCAUAGGAUUGAUGUGGGAAUUGUGAUUGAUUUAGAACCUGCUAAUUCUAGUGAUCCUGCAUUGCUGCUAGCUGGGGCAGUCCAGUCACAAAAACUGGCUGUCCGGUCGAUAACUAGGUUGCAGUCACUUCCUGGUGGAGAUGUAGGGAUUCUCUGUGAUACCGCGGUGGAAGAUGUGCAGAAGCUGACUGGAUAUGAUAGGGUAAUGGUCUAUAAGUUUCAUGAUGAUAAUCAUGGCGAAAUAGUGUCUGAGAUUAGGAGAUCAGACUUGGAACCUUAUUUGGGUUUGCAUUAUCCUGCAGCAGAUAUACCACAAGCUGCUCGAUUCUUGUUCAAACAAAAUAGAGUUAGAAUGAUAUGUGAUUGCAAUGCACAGCCUGUUAAGAUUGUUCAGAGCGAAGAACUAAAGCAGCCGAUUUGCUUAGUAAAUUCAACUCUUAGAUCGCCUCAUGAAUGCCAUAGCAAGUAUAUGGGCAACAUGGGAUCUAUUGCGUCGUUAGUGAUGGCAGUUCUUAUUAAUACCGGUGAUUCAAUGAAGCUUUGGGGUUUGCUUGUUUGUCAUCACACUUCUCCCCGCUAUGUGCCUUUUCCACUUCGAUAUGCAUGUGAAUUCUUCACGCAGGCAUUUAGCCUGCAGCUUAAUAUGGAGCUCCAAUUGGCAUCACAAUUGGCAGAGAAGAAAACUCUCCAAAUGCAGACAUUACUAUGUGACAUGCUUCUUCGAGAUGUUCCAUUUGGUAUUGUAACACAAUCCCCUACUAUUAAGGAUCUUGUUAAGUGUGAUGGAGCUGCACUUUAUUGUGGUGGAAAAUGUUGGUUGCUUGGGGUGACGCCAACUGAAGAACAAGUUAAAGAUAUUGCAAAUUGGUUGCUAGUUGCUCAUAAGGAUUCCACAGGUUUAAGUACGGACUGUCUUGUAGAAGCUGGUUAUCCUGGUGCGGCUUUUCUGGGAGAUGCAGUUUGUGGCAUGGCUACUGCGAGAGUUGCUUCCAACGAUUUUCUAUUCUGGUUCAGGUCUCACACAGCAAAGGAAGUCAAGUGGGGAGGUGCUAAGCAUCAUCCAGAUGAUGAAGAUGAUGGAGGAAAAAUGCACCCGCGAUCUUCAUUUAAUGCCUUCCUUGAAGUUGUUAAAAGCAGAAGUUUGCCAUGGGAGGUCCCGGAGAUUAAUGCCAUUCAUUCUCUACAAAUCAUAAUGAGAGAAUCAAUUCAAGAGAUUGAGAACAGCUCGCUAAAAACUACUACCUCUUCUCAGCAGAAUGGUGCUGAUGGGCCAAGCAUGGAUGAACUUAGUUCUGUGGCAAUGGAAAUGGUUAGGUUGAUUGAGACAGCCACUGCUCCAAUUUUUGGAGUUGAUCCAUCUGGCUUAAUAAAUGGAUGGAAUGAGAAGAUUGCUGACUUGACAGGAUUGCAUGCUAGUGAAGCUGUUGGAAGGUCUCUCCUUAAUGAUAUUGUUCAUGAAGAUUCACAUGCAACUGUUGAAAAAUUUCUACAUAGAGCUCUGUUAGGUACUACUUUUUUAGCCUUAAUAGCUAUCAUUAUAAUUUGGAAACAUGCUUAACAUUACAUGGCUAUCAUUCUUGUGUGUGCGUUCAUUGUGUUCUUUUAUAUUCAUUCUUUUUUGCAUUGCAGUCAUACUUGAGCCUACCUUCUUAGAUUUGAAAUUCAUGCCUACUGGUAAGAGAAUUGGCUAUCUACACUAUUGAAUUGGACUGUCAUCUUGUGUGUUACAAUAUAUGCAUUGUUUGGGGCAAUAUUAUGCUUUCAGCAUUGACUAAUCAGUCAUCUCCACUGCAUAGUGAAACUUACUGCCACUAGCAUUCCUCAGCUACCACCCACCCCACCCCACCCCACCCGGUCUUCUCUGUCUUUGUAACUUGUGAUAAUUUAUGAUUCAGGUGAGGAGGACAAAAAUGUGGAAAUAAAACUGCGAAGUUUUGGAAAAGAUCCACCUGAAUCAGUUAUAUACCUUGUGACCAAUACCUGCACAAGCAGGGACCACAAAAAUGAUGUUGUUGGUGUGUGCUUUGUGGCUCAAGAUAUCACCCCCGAGAAAGCUGUCAUGGAUAAAUUCAUUCAGUUGCGAGGAGAUUAUGAGGCUAUUGUACAAAGUCUUAAUCCAUUGAUUCCACCGAUAUUUGCUUCUGAUGAAAAUGCUUGUUGUUCGGAGUGGAAUGCAGCAAUGGAGAGGUUGACUGGUUGGACAAGAUAUGAGGUCAUGGGGAGAACACUUCCUGGUGAAAUUUUUGGUGGUCUUUGUCAUCUUAGGGGACAAGAUGCCCUUACCAAAUUUAUGAUUCUUUUCUACCAAGCAAUUGGUGGCCAUGACACCAAAAAGCUUCCAUUUAGCUUUUUUAAUAGGACAGGGGAGUUGGUGGAAGUGAUCCUAACAGCAAACAAGAGAACUGGUGAGCAUGGAAAUGUAACUGGGUGUUUCUGCUUCUUGCAGCCUACGAUGGUUGACCCAGAGACAUCAGAUGAGAGACAAGACGAUAAAGAACCCCUUUCGAAAUUUAAAGAAUACGCUUAUGUUCGACAGCAGAUGAAAAAUCCAUUGAGUGGGAUCCAGUUUACCCAUAAACUCCUUGAAGCAACCUGUAUUUCAGAUAAUCAGAAACAACUUCUGGAGACAAGUGAAGCCUGUGAGAAACAGAUCCUGUCUGUUAUUGACAACAUGGAUUUCAGAGCUAUAGAGGACGGGUAAUGCUUCUUCUGUAUGAACCCUGAUUAAUAUUACUCUUAUCUCCGUAAUAUGUUUUGUUUAUGCUCCACCUCAACCUAUUUCACUUUAUGAUAGAGAAAUUUCAUAGAUGAUCUGAGAGGAUCAUUUCCCUUCUUCUAAGACCUGAAUGGGGUCGUUCAUCCAGUCGUUACAAAGAAGUGGUUACUACUUUCCUUUCCUCUAUUACAACUCUUCCCUUAUCAUGGCUUACAUUAAUCUGUGUAGAUUCAACUAUAAAGUAAUUCACUUUAUGGUUAAUAGGCUGCAGAAAUUUUAUUUCCUGUUUGUGUGGCCUCCUACUGAUAGUUCUUUGAGCUAUAUUUGGGCACUACAUCCCAGUCCUGAGUAGCUGGUACUCAUUAACUGUUAAUUUCACUAGAAACAGCUUUCCAAAGGAGUGCAAUUAGUUUACAGGAGCGCCAAAGAAAAAAAGAGAGAAGUACCGAAAAGACUGCAAAUCCAUUAAAAGCCUGCCUUCAGAACCAACAUGUGUAACCAACUCACUAGACAACGCAAGCCUCACAGCAGUAUGAAUUGCCCUACAGGUAAUAGUAGGUUUCUUACUGUACCUAGUCUAUCAUCAAGGCUCUGAGCAAGCUUCUCAAAUACAUCAUCGAUGAAACUGUUCAUCAAUGUAAGUUUCAACACUCUUCUUUACCCUCUUCUUGUUGUUGUCAGCACCAGUUGCACCUCUUCCUUUCAUAACUUCUUUCCUGCCUUUGGCUUCUUCUCUGCUGGUGCUUUUUCAGCUUCUUUCUCCUCUGUUGCUGCUGAUCUCUGCUAGCUUUUCUCUGCUUUUGGUGACACUGAAAGUCAAAUUCGGAAUCAGAAAAUGGGUUUUAUUAAAAAGAGACUAGAAGAUUUCUAGCUUGUGAAUUGAUGAGUUUGUGUUGUCCGUAAAGUACCCAGUUCAAAAAAAAAUAAAAAAAAGAGGGAACCACAUCAGCCCAUUCUCUACUUAGGAUAUGGUGCUACUGUCUAAUUACUGCAAUUUUACGUUUAUAGAUAGGUUGGGUAGAAACACUCCGCUAAAAUAAAAUUGAAAAAGAAGUCCCAAAGGUAUCGGAUUAAGAGAACUACUCCAAAUCGAACUGACAAAAUUGAAUGAAAAAUCUAUUAAUAUGCAUGAGUUCUCUUAUAUCAUGUUUGCACAGGCCGUAGUAGAUGCCAUGGGAACUAUUCUAUUAGGAGCACCUGUUUGCUUAGAGUAUGUAAUCCUGUAGUGCUUAUAUCUUUUAUAAUGAUGCUGAAGCCUGAAGCCUUUUUAGUUGAGGUUGGACGCAAAAAUUGAUCUCAUCUAUCCUAAACACAUUGCAUAAUCAUCAGUUGUCUCUUUGUUUCACAAAAAAUGCCAAAAAUUGGCAAUUUAAACGUUCUGAUGAGUCGCUACUCAUUAUAUAUCACACACCUAGAUAUGUUUUCGCUGUAAAAUAUACUGUAAACAAUCUUUCUAUUUGCUAGUGCAACAAUAAGCUACCAUAAUAUAUGCAUGUUGAUACUUGAUUCUUUAUUUCUCUAUGGCUAAAAGGUCUGCUAAAUGCAUAUUACUUUCUCCUGGUUCUAGCAGCAAAGUAGAGCUAAACAUGAAGGAAUUCAUUCUAGGAAAUGUUGUGGAUGCUAUUGUGAGUCAAGUAAUGAUUUUUCUGAAAGAGAAGAACUUACAGCUGCUGCGUGAUAUACCUGACCAGAUCAAAACCCUUCCUCUAUAUGGUGAUCAAAUUAAGCUUCAGCGUGUUCUGUCAGACUUCUUGCUUACUGUAGUUCAUCAUGCACCUUCUCCGGAUGGUUGGGUGGAAAUCAAGGUGUUACCUGGUUUAAGACUUGUACAAGAUGGAAAGGAAUUAAUUCAUAUGCAGUUCAGGUAACUUGAGUGCUAUUUGUCUAUUGCUGUUUUUUCACAUAAGAACAUGAGCUUACUCAUUUUAUCCAGUCUCUGUCCUCUCAGGCAAUGUUAAUCUAAUCAGCAGAAAUAUUACGGUGCUUUAGUCACAUAUCUGAAUUUGUUUUCUGUUAUCAAGACUCACUUUUGAUCUUUCAAAUCAGUUUUCCUUUGUAACUAAAACGUCUUUGUCAUAAUCCGCGAAACCACCUUGUAUGACCUUACAAUAACUAUAUGUAUGGAUUGUCAUGACUUCUAUUGAUAAAUGUUCCUGUAAAAAUUAAACACACACUAUUUUAUAGAAUGGCUCACCCUGGCCAAGGAGUACCUGCUGCUCUAAUUGAUGCCAUGUCUGGAGGAAGAAAUCGAUGGACAACAGAAGAAGGAAUCGCGUUGAAUGUUUCCCAGAAACUUCUCAAUAUUAUGAAUGGAAACGUCCAUUAUGUCAGAGAGGAAAACAAAUGUUAUUUCCUAAUUGACGUGGAACUCAAAACAUCGAAAUCUACACAAGUUCCGAGUUCAGAAGGAACUCAAGAAACAGAAAUCUAGACAACAUGGGCCAUAUUUUGAUGUAGAGUGUGCUAUCUCAAAGUACCUUUAGCCUUCCUCUGCACUUCAGGUUAAAUGUCUCCCUUUUUUUUUUUUCCGGUAUUGUAUAAUGGAGAAUAUAUCUGGUAUUUCUAGAGCCUUGGAGUUGAUUGUGAUUCUCCUACCUUGUACAUGAUUACUGCUACUAUCAGCAGAGCAGCACAGGAUGUAUUUUCAUGUGGUUAGUUAUGCAAGUUGUAUAUUUCUUGUAUCAUAACGCUCUAAAACUAUCUUUCCAGAUAAGAUGCUCCAAAAUUAUGAUGUUUUGCUGGAUAGAAGAGUUCCAUUCAUUCAAGAUUAACUUCUUUAAACCUCUUGCAUGAACUAUGUGUUUAAACAUGGUGCCAAUAAUUUUUUUUAUUUUUCCGGUAACUUAUCCAGAGCUGGAAAUGGAAAAAGAUCCGUCAAGUUUUACUUCUCCCUCCGUCCCAUAUCACGACCUAGUAGAGCUAGUACAAGAGCAUCUAGUAAUAAUAAAACUCAAAUGUCUAAAAAUAGUCCACAACAUGUGUCUCGAAACAAGAGACUGCACAAAAAAGAUAGAAUGAAAUGGGCGACUAGAAUGAAAUGGGCGACUCUAACUCCAAGAGCACUGAUAUGUUUACGUGCGUAUCUCGAUUAAUCUAUCGGAUAGUCAAUCUGCAAGAAUCAUCUACAAGCACAUAAUUGUCGUAUUAUUAUUCUAUACAGGGGUUGAAGGUGAAAAAAAAAAGAGAUGCGUAUUAGUAUUCCAUUACCUGAUGUUCUAUAGUCAAGUGCUAAAUUAUAGGUUUUCCACUAAAGAACAAGUUAAAUGCUUGGUAAAAAGAGCAGUCCAAUGCAUCUCUGAAAAGAGUUGUUUUCACCGCUUCAAUAAUGGCAGCGACUUUACUAGUUACGUCAAGGCUCCCCUUCAGUUUCUCGUGAUAAAAAGUAGAAAUGAACCAAGCAAUUUUGUCAUACGGCUGUUCUAGAAGAUUACGGUAUAGUUUCUAGAAAAGUUUCACAUAAAUACCAAAAGCUUGAUACAAAAUGACAGCCAGUUUUCCUUCCCACUUUACAUUUUUCAAGCAUCCCCCCUCUCUUUACAGUUUUACUCCAAUCCCCCAAAUAAAUGUUACAAAACUACAACCUUGCAUCUGCAUGCUAUUUCAACUUGCCAAAGGAUUACAACAUGAACUACAAAUGCUUUGAUGCCACAUAAGUUAGAACGAACCCGCUUCCUCAUAGAGAUUUCUACCCAAAAACACCUACUCACUAUAGUACAACGAACUUCAUACUUCUAUUUUUGUGCCUCAAAUCAUGCUACUCUACACAAUGUAUAUCGACACUUGUGCUAGCCAGCUGCACUCUCUUCAAGCCGCGAGCAAAAAAAACGUUUCAAUGCCAACGCUAGGUCUUCUCCAAUUUGUCAACUGGAUCCUCCUCAGGCGGGCUACCUUGUGACCCCACCAAGUCUGACUCGUUUGACUGGGAGACUUGAAUAUGUACGCACCCUGAUGACAGAUGUUCUUGAACAAUCUGCAGGAAAGUUUUCAUCUUUAAGUUAUAAUUGUGUUUUGAUGCAAAAGUUGCAGUUUCAUGUUAUCAUCUUAGCAAAAAAAUAUUCAAUCACAGAGCCUGAAAGAACAAAAAAUCAAAGCUCGCUGACAUGACUUAACACAACAUUAACUAAAAGCAGGAAAGCAAACAGAGCAGAUCUUGGGAGCAAGCAGAAUCUUUUUUUUUCUCCGUUUUUGAUGAGUAAUCAAAGAUUUUAUAAACGCUUGCAGUGAGCCAACAUCCACUAUAGCCAACCUCUACCUCCAAACUGAAUGUUGUUGUUUUCAUGCUAUCAGCUUUACUUAAAACCUUUUGAAACUUUGCUAGAAUCAUAAAACGAGACAUAAAAGUAGUAAUAAUGUUAUAUUUCGCAUGUUUAAUUCUCAAGAAGAUGGUCUAUAUUACCUGAUCCCCCAAUUCUGAGCUUUCCGAGUGGAAAAGGAUUGGCCUACAUCGCUUAUCUUCAUUCAUCAAACUUGAAUUCUGGAAGUGGGCUACAAGGGCCGUCUUUCCCUGAAUCCGAGCAUAAGCCAAAGCAGCCACUUUCUCACUAUUGAAUUUCUCCCACUUCUUUCCAUUAAAUGCCUGCACAGAGUGAACAUUCAGCAUAACACUCUUUGCUUCGAAAGUUCAAGACCGCAAAAACAAUAGAACGAAGACACAAUUAAGAAGGCAUAGCAAUCUAUAUAUAUAACCGGGAAGGCAGGAACUAACAAGGAGGGACAUAGCUUCAAGCUCAUAGCCCAAUCACCUUUAGGAAAAGAAAGUAAUAGAAUACGUUUAAAAGAACAAACAAAAACAAACCUCAUAAAAUGGGAUAAUGAGUGAUGGAGACAACAUGUUGAUAAAUGCAUAUCCCACAUUGCAUUUGUUCUGCUCGCAUGCAAGAAUUUCCAUCAGACUUUUGAGAAACAAAAAGAAAACCACAAAAUCCUAACCACCAUAUGAUUACCUUGAAGUCAAUGGGAAGAUAUAGAAAAUCAAAAGUGCCUUUAUGUUGUUCGUCAAUAGCCGCUAAAAGCAUCUUGGAGGUGUACCUGGAUGAAGACAAUGUCAAGUGUUGCAGAUGCUAAAAUAAUCCAUACAUAACAAGGUACAAGGUACAAGAAUUUAGAAGUUGCUAUUACUUGUUAGGAAUAUUUUUAAUCAUCAAAGUUGUCCGAGUAUCUUCACCAGAUCUAAUCCUAUUCAAGUCAAGUUGAAACAGCUUCUUGUUGUCCAUCUGGUUCCCACUAUUAUUGUCAACACGUCGAGUGCGACUGCGUUCAGUCAGCCCCUCAAAGCCAGAAGCUGCAUGUCCUGAGAAAUGACCAUUACCUAGGAAUAAAGGACUAAGUCUUUGGGAAGACAUCAUGCCAAAUCCAAGAGAACCAUUGUCCGACAUAUUCCCUGGAAUAGCAACGCCAGCAUUCGAAGUAGUACGAGCACCAUAAUUAACCAUCAAGCUUCCGUCACGAGGACCUAUACCCAUGCCUCUAAAACCUGUAUUCAAGAUUGAUGAGUCUGGGUAAAAACCGAAGUGCCUAUCAAAGGGAAGACCAGAUGGAGCAGAUCCAACAUGGUGAAGGUGCUGAUGAUGAUGCUGAGAUGAACUGAGGAAAGAUUUUUGAUGAUUUGACAAGGAAAACCUGUCGCCCUGACCACUAAAUGUAAAAGAAUUCGUCGAAGACUGGGUUUUCCAGGAUGAAGAAUUACUCUGUUGAGGAUGCAACUUUGGACUGCCCCAGAGAAACUGUGGUCCUGAUAGUGUUUCAACAGCAGAACCAUUUGUAUUUGAAGCACCAAAAGAGGACAUUGUUCCACCAAACUGGCUUAUAUUAGGGUCGGGGAAAGAAUGAGACUGAGGGAAGGGAGCAGCAUGGUUUGAACCAUUACGGAAAUCUGCAUGACCAUUCAUUGUGCGGUCCUCACCAAUAGGUGCUACCCUCAAGGUAUUUGUAUUUGAUGCACGAGGAUUCAAAAUUGAAGCUAACCCAUGUAAAUUAUUGUCAAUGGUAGGACUCAGGGAUCUAAAGCCUGGUGAAGUGCCAGGACUUUGCGUGGAGCCAUGCUCUACAGGGCUGCCAAAUUGUGGCCAAUUACCUGCCAGAAAUAGAAGUAAUGCCCAUACUAUCAGAUAGCAUAGCUGCAAUUAAAGAAGAUCAAAAUUAAUGAAGUCCAUCCCCUCCCCUUUUCUACCGACCCAAAUGAAAAAAUAAUAAUAAUACAGAACACAGGCACAAACAGAAGGAAAAGCAAGAACCUUAAAUUGUCUCAGCAUAUAUAGAAGUGGAAACCCACAGUGAACUUACCGGGGGAGGAAUUACCAAUUGAGGAACCCAAUGGAUGCCGAAAAGUCCAAGAGUCAUCUUGUUCAGGUUCUUGAUUUGACUGCAAUAUAAU
Molecule: long non-coding RNA, 62379 nt
Filed under: Capsicum annuum
Lineage: Eukaryota; Viridiplantae; Streptophyta; Magnoliopsida; Solanales; Solanaceae
Description: long non-coding RNA (CANN_LNC003336)
Source: RNAcentral